UUAAAUCCACUUUAAAAAAAGUCUAGGGGGUAAUAGGACCCCCGCAAAGUUCAGUAUGCUCAACUGCAAAUUCAGUCAAAGUUCAGGUAUUUUUCUGAGUAGUUUCCCAAGAUUUUAACUUGGUUGCUAAAACAUAAUCUGGUCUUCCAUUAAUAAUAAUGGAAUCCCACCAAACCUUAACUUUCUCAUUGAACCCUUCAGUUUCCAGCCACCAUCUUUCAAAUUUGAAAUAAGACUUAGUGUGUUCCCAACUGCUACUUUGAAGUGCAAUUGGUGUGUGAUCAAAAUAAAUUCUAGGAAGAAUGUCUUACUUAAUAUUCUUGAAAUGUUCUCCCCAUUCAACAGAGUAUAAGAACCUGUCAAUCCUGCAGGGUUUUCCAGGUUGUUCCCCCUAGUUCAGGUGUAACUUCUCCCAUCUAGUUGAGGAUCAAUCAACUCCAUAUCCUCAAUAAAAUCAAGAGCAAUUCUUUCUCUGAAGCAUAUCUAACAACAUUAAAAUCACCGCCUAUCACCCAAGGCCCUGUAAACAAACCUCUAACAGCCCCAAGUUCCCACCAUACUUCUUGUCUUUCCUCAUUAUGAUUUGGUGCAUAUACCCCCAUGUGCCAACUAAAAUCGUGACUUGUCGACUUGAAUCUACAAGUCAAUGUAUAAGCACCAACUUCCACUACUUCUCUUUCCCAAGUCUUGCUAUCCCACACUAUCAAAAUACCUCCCCUAGUUCCACUUGCCUCCAGUUGCCCAUACUUGACUCCCUUGUUUCCCCACACUUGCUUUAUUAGUUCCCUAGUAUCCCCUUCCAAUUUAGUUUCCUUUAAACAUAUGACAUUUGCUUUCCAUUUUUGAGCUAAACUAUGGAUCACCCCACUCUCCUUUUUAUCUCUACAAUUUAAUCCCCUCACAUUCCAUGAAAUUAUUUUGUCAUACCUAUGUUAUUUUAUUAUGUUCCAUGUUUUUUUUUAUAUAUAUACUGUCCUUUGUCUUGAGCCGAGGGUCUAUCGGAAACAACCUCUCUACUUCUUUAGAGGUAGUGGUAUGGACUGCACUCUACCCUCCCCAGACCCCACAAUGUGGGAAUAUACUGGGUUUGUUAUUGUUGUUGACAUUCCAUGAAAUUAUUUUGACAUUCAUCAUAACAUCCUAGAAUUUCCUUUCCCCCUAAUUCUCGCCCCCAUAGCUUGGAACUUCAUGUCUAUGGCCAACCCUUUCAAUUCUUGUAAGCCUUUAAUUUGGGAGUCUCCGUGACCCUUGUUUCUGAUUCUUUAAAAUUCGACUUCCUUCUACUAUCAAUCUUCUUGAAAAGGGCCAAAGCUUCCUUUCUGCAACCUUGAAAUUCAACCCAAAAUUCCUUGCUUAACCUGAUCAUAUUUUGGUGGACCCAAAUUGACCCAUCUAUCUCAUCAUCACUUCCCUCCUCUAGGUAUUCUGAGUUUAAAGGUUCAACAUCCUCAAUGUUCCAUGCCGCAUCAUCAGGGCAAUCAACCAAUUGCAUGUCUUGAUGGUCUUGAUUGACAUCAAUAUGUGCUUCUCCUUCUUUUAUAUUUGCCUUUGCAUCUACAUAAACUUUCCCUUCUUCUGUAUUUGAUUCUUUUGUUGGACUUGCUGGCUGAUUUUCUUUUGGGAUUUUUGAUACCAUGUCUCUGGAGCUACUGUCAAAAAAAAAAUAAUGUUUGUGCAAUUUGCUUCUAUUUCCGCUAGCAUUGGGUCUGCUUGUAAAGAGCACGUGACAUUUGCUUGGUUAGAAUUGAAGUGAUGGGCCCCAGUAAAUAAAACUGGGCCUUUAUUAAAACUAGCUCCUUUAAAACAACUAAAAAUUACACAAAUACACAACUUAUGUUUCCAAUAUUACAAAAAUCCUAACUCCAUAAACAUAUUACAAAAAUCUCAACAUAUACACAGAAUGUUACGUAUAUGUCGGCUAUGUUAUGUAUAUUAAUAGGGAGAGAAGGUAAAUUAAAAAAGUGGGAGAGAGUAAUUACUUCCAAAAGGGUUGUUAUUUAUGUUAUUUAUACUUAAACAAUUAGCUGAGCUUUUCUUUUGGCCCAUUAAGAGCCCAUUUCUUUUAAAAAACAAACCCUUCUCCAUGACACGUAUUGGUGGGCCCUUGCCAGCUAUUUUAUUUGAAAUGGGUACCUGAACUGAAGAACCCACGUGCCUCUCUCUAUCAAAGCAGAACCUAUUCUCUUUAACUGUGUAGGGUUUUUUGCCCGGUGGUCCUUAACCUGCAGAACUUCCUCCUCUCCGGCGACCACCAUAGUUCUAGACUCGCUCCAUAUCGGAAUUAAAAAAGUAAGACCAUUGUCGACUAUCUUUACCUCUUUUGGAACUUCUUUUCCAUCUCCUUUGAUUCUCAUUCGCGCCCACUUCAAAUGGUGGUUUUUCAGGGAUGCCUCUUCCUCUGUUUCCAACCAUCCUCCACAAUGAUCUCCGAUGCUUUGAACAUUUUUUUGGUCCAAAACUGAAGAGGAAGACCUACUGCUCUUAUCCACGUUGAGGCCUCUCGAUUGGUGCGACAGCCUACUGUCGGCGACCACUAUUCGAGAUGACUCUUCGUUUGCUUCCAUGCCCACUGACUUUGAAGAAUAUGCUCGGCCAUAUGCUUGUUUGGAAACUCAAACAGAAAAGAACAGCCCCCCAUUUCGUAUACAUUAAUCCCAAAAGCAUUCUUCCAAGUACUCACCUCCCACUUCCUAAUAUCUGACAGUGUUGGUUUCUCCUUCUCUUCUCCACUGAAGCUUCCAACAAUACAUCUUCCCCGCAAGCCAUUUUCUUUUUCCUGGUUAACAUCACCGCCAGAGAUGAUGAUAGAGAUGUUGUUGUUGCUGACCAGAGAUUCAGAGGCUUCUUUUGAUUGCCAUUUGCUAGUCCUGAAUGAAUCUGCACAAGGAACCUUUGGAUCAAUCCUCCUAGCAAUAUUUGUAUUAAAUGUUCCUUUAUGUUUUUUGGCGAAUUAUCAAUCUUAAAUGCUAUGUCUCCCCAUCCUGCAUUAAAUGUAACUUCUGGGAUAAUAAUGACCGAUCUGUUCCCUCCUUGUACUGUCACUAUGCUUAUAAAUCUUCCAAAUUUGUUGUGUUUUCUGGAACAAAAGAAAUUUGAAUAUUGUUCAUUUGUUUUCCACCUUCUCGUAUGGUUGCUAGAGUCUUUUGAGGCUUCUCGUAAUACAAAGACUAUCCAUUCCAUUGUUUUCUUGCUGAAAGUUGUUCUGCGCAUCAGAUUCCGGCUUCUUUCAACCCAUUCAAACCAAAUUUCAGCUCUGGCUGCAAGCCUGGUGAUAUCGUAAGACUUAAAACCAACUGCGAAGUAGAUUCUAUUUUCCCCCAUAAAAGCUGCGCUGUUUUUAAAUAAUCACUGAGAGCUAGUUAAGAUUAGCAAAACGAACGGAAAAGGACGCCGGAAUAAAACUUCAGAUCACCUGAGGAAAAGAGUUACCCCCUCCCCCUCGAGAAAUGUACUUGAACAUCUACUGGAAUCUGACUCUGGAAUAUUAAAAGAAGUAUUGAGCCAUCUGACUCUGGAAUAGACCCCAAAGCAACCAAAAAAAACCCAUAGUUUCUCAGGAACGGGUAAAUAUAAACUGGUUCAUUCCUUUUCAAUAAAGAAAGAAUCAGGUUUAUUAAAUCUUUUUUGUGUUCAACAGCCAAUAUUUCAACAGAUAAAUGGCAGGCUCCAGUCAACAGUCGAAAUGAUAAAAACUUGACAAAUAGAAAGGUCUUACCAAUUUUUUCCACAACAUCCUCAGUCUCCCUGAUCCCUGCAGUAUCAAGAAGUGUAACAGGAACACCACGAACAGAAACAUUGGCUUCUACAACAUCCCGUGUGGUACCAGCAAUAUUUGUAACUAUUGCUCUAUCAGUCUGCACGCUAAUAUAAGGCACGUGAUUAGAAAUGAACGCCAGUAAGAUAAUAACACAGGAACCAGACACUUGAGACGAGAGAUUCUAAAGAAUGGGGGGUGUGAGCUAAAUGACUAUAUUUUGAAGAAAUAAUUUGCCGUGAAAAACAUUUUAUAUGUUUCCUUUUGGUCUUGUUACUAGCAGCAGUAGGAGUUUGAUAGAGUAAAGAUCAACAAUCAUGUUUAUAUGUUAUACUUGUCAAGGAAACUAAUUUGACUGUUAAGGACAAGUUAUUUCAUAUUAUGUGACAAUUAAAGUAGACAAUUAUAAAUUAUGGGAUUGAAAUGGCUCAUUAUUUUUAUCAAAACUGACAUGUAGUUGCAGGAUUGGGAAGAAAAUCUGAACGGUGGCUUGUAGAUAAAUUCACUGUGACAAAUUGAAUCUAGCAUGACCUAUUGCAACUAGUGAUUCAGCCACACUAUAUACUGUUACGAUUCAAGGAUUGAGUCACAAGACGAUUAACAGGAAAAUCAAAAUCAAUUGCCUUUGACUUCCCCUAGCUUUUGUUAUUAGAAUUCCUAGAACGACCUAUUUUGUAUAAAGAUAUUUGAUAUACAAAUUCAGCUCGUUAAAAGGGAGGCUAAAACCUUAGCGUUCAGUGAGAGAACUCCGAUCUCUUGAUUCUGGUUGAAAUUCUGCUUAAGUUUUAUUCCACAAAACUCUCCUUAACUAGGAGUCUUUAUUACAACAAAUAGGAAGCCUAAUCCUUACAAAACUAGAAAACACAAAACCCUAUUCUAGACUAAUAAUGACAGCUAGCAUGAAUCCUAUUUUACAAUAAUAAAUAAAGCUAUUAAUAAUAAAAUUAAUCUCUUAAUUUACUAUCCUUCCUGUGGGCAUAUGUCUUGCCCACAAAGGCAUCCACAACAUUACCCCCUCAUGUUGAAAGGGCUUGUCCUCAAGCUCGAACGAUGGAUAAACCUGUCGAAAAGAGUCUACAUCCUCCCAUGUAGCUUCUUCCGAUGGCAUACCUGACCAUUGUAUAAGAAUCUCCUUUGUACCACGAUUGACACGAGCUCUAAUGACUCCGGCAGGCAAAGGAACUACUCGACCAUCCUCCAGCGGUGGAAGCUCUGUAAUAGGUGGAAGGUGUUCACCUUUGAAUGACUUUAAAAGGGAAACAUGAAAAACGUUAUGAAUUCGACUGUCGCUUGGCAAAUCCAACGCCAUAUGCAACCUGUCCAAUUCGACUUAAGAUCGGAAAUAGACCAUAAAAUUUGGGGGACAACUUAUUGUAAAUACUCAAUCGAGUGGAGCGUUGUCUAUAGGGAUGUAAAUGAAGCCAAACAAGUGUCCCUGGAACAAAUUCUACAUCAAGAUGACCCUUAUCAUAAUAUUCCUUCAUUCAUUGUUGGGUUGCCUAUCACCAAUUCGGGUAUCAUCCAAAAUGUUAUCACGAUCCAACAAUGCACUCUCAACAGCUUUACCCGACAUGUCCCUGGUACAUAUGAAAGCAAACGGAGUGGGUCACGGCCAAAAACAACCCUAAAGGGUGUGGUCUGCAAUGUCGAAUGAAAAGAUGUGUUGUAACAAAAUUCUGCCCAUAGAACCCAAUCAACCCACUUUCGAGGAUAAUCAACAACAAAGCAAUGAAGAUACAUCUCCAAAGUACCGCUAACGACCUCCAUCUGGCCAUCUAUUUUCAAUGGUAAGCAGAGGAGAAUUGUAAUUUAGCACCAUUCAAGCGAAAAAGUUCCUUCCAAAAAGUGUUACUAAAAAACACAUCUCUAUCAUAAGUAAUCGUUCCCUGUAUCCCAUGUAAGAGAACAAUUUGAUCAAAGAAUGCCUAAGCCACUCAUGUAGCCAUGUAUGGAUGAGCCAAUGGUAUAAAAUGAGCAUAUUAUGAGAACCUAUCUACUACUACAAACGAAACCGACUUUCCCCAAGACUUGGGUAAGCCAUCUAUAAAAUUCAUUGAGAUGUCUGCCCAGAUCUGAGUCGAUAGCUGGAGAGGUUGUAAUAAUCCUGCAAGACUUAAAUGUUCUCAUUUAUUGCGUUGACACACCGGGCAAGCAGCAACAUAUGUGGCAAUGUCAGUUUUCAUACCUUUCCAUACCUUUCCAAUAAAAAUCCCCACAAAUUUGAUGCAAUGUUUUGUGUAUCCCUUCAUGCGCACUAUCAUGAUCGGUGGAUAGUACAGUAGGUAGCAAAGGGGAAUUUUGUAGAAGGUAGAUGUGACCUUUAAACAAAAGUAACCCAUCCUGAACUUUCCAAUCCGAACUCAAUUCUCCUAGCUUGACCUUAUUACAUAAAUCCAAUAGUUCUGCCGAUCUCGUAAUCUCUUCACGGAUUGUGUCCAGUAAUGUGCUACGAGGGUAGCUAAUAGCAUUCAAAGAAGGAUCCUCAUGUGUAGUUCUCGAUAAAGCAUUCGCAAUUUUAUUGAGAUAACCAUCCCGGUAGACCACUCUGAAGUCGUAACCCAUGAGGUUUCUCAACCAGUGUUGUUAAGGGGGUGUAGUAAGCCGUUGUUCUAGCAAGUAUUUCAGGUUGUAAUGAUCCGUUCGAAUAAGAAAGGGGUGCCCCCACAAGUAUAGCUGCCAAUGCUGGACUGCUUUUGCAAGGCCAAAUAGCUCCCUUUCAUAUGCAGCUAAUUUUUGGUGACGAGCUGCCAACUGCCAGCUAAAAAAUGCUAUGGGCUGACCGCCCUGUUACAAAACAGCACCUACACCACCUCCUGAAACAUCACAUUCUACAAUGAAAUUCAAACUAAAUUCAGGCAACCUCAGUACUGGAGCAGAGGAUAGUGCUAGCUGCAGCUUCUAGAAUGCAGCUAGGGUCGAGUCGUUCCACAGGAGUUUUGCUUAAGUAGACUAGUCAAGGGUGCUGCCAAUUGUCCAUAGUCACGAAUAAAUUUGCGGUAGUAACCCACCAAUCCCAAGAAUCAACAAAGAGAGGUAAUUGACCGAGGUUGAGACCAGUCUAAAAUUGCAUGUGCUUUGCUUCUAUCUACCUCCACACCUGUAGCUAAAAUAAUAUGCCCCAAAUAAGCUACUUGACUUGUACCAAAGCAACAUUUAGAUUGUUUCAAAUAUAGUCUAUGCGCAAGCAAUAACAGAAACACCUUUCUCACGUGAACCAAAUGCUCCUCCCAACCACUACUAUGAAUUAAGAUAUCAUCAAGGAAAACCAACACAAAUUGAGGUAAAUAUUCAUGAAAAAACUUAUUCAUUAAAGCUUGAAAAGUGGAUGGGGAAUUAGUGAGCCCAAACGGCAUGACAAGGAACUCAAAGUGCCCAUGAUGAGCCUGAAAGGCCGUCUUUUUUCCACAUCUGUAGGAGACCUGCGGACUUGAUAGUAUCCAGACUUCAAGUCCAAUUUAGUAAAGUACUUGGCCCCGUAUAACUCGUCAAAUAUCUCGUCCACAACCGGAAUUGGGAACUUGUCCUUUUAUUGUUUUAGCAUUCAAUUCACGAUAAUCAAUACAAAGGCGCCAAGAUCCGUCUUGCUUGGAUACCAAUAACACAGGUGAAGAAAAAGGGGACUUGCUUGGUCGUAUAUAUCCUUGCUGCAACAUCUGGUUACAUUGCUUCUCAAUCUCAUCAUUUUGUCGAUGAGGGUAUCGAUAAGGACGAACAACUACAGGUGGACCCAGGCAGCAAACUGAUGCGGUGGUCACAUUGUCGCAAUGGUGGUAAACUCGUAGGUUCCUGGAAAAAAUCAUCGAACUUGGUCAAAAGGUAUUCCAAUUGUUGCUCUCCGUAGUUGCCUUUCCUGACAGGUGCAAAACCUUAUCGCAAUAUUAUUGUUGUCCCUGAAGCAAAAUUGAUUUACCUUCCAACGAAAAACUCAUAGUAAAUUCUGCAAAAUCCCAAAGUAUUGGACCCAAGGUUUGUAACCACUUAACUCCCAGAACAAUAUCAAACCUGUCCAAUGGAAUAACAUAAAAAUUUGCAAUAAAGCAAUGGUCACUAAUGGAAAUUGUUACCCGUGUGCAGACUCCCGAGCAAGGAACCUUCUCUCCAUUAGCAAUGGAGAUUCUAAAGUUGUGCAAGGAGAAAAAAUCAAGGAGUAAUCGACUAGCAGCAGUAGAACUUAUAAGUUAUGGGUACUUCCAGAAUCAAUAAGACUGAGCACAUGUUGUCCGUUAAUGAUUGUAGGCAAUUGCAUAGUCUGUGCAUGUCUUUGACCUGUAAUAGCAUGUAAAGAAAUUUUUGGGUAGUCCUCCAGAACAUUUGGUAUCGUGUCAUCAACCGAAUCAUCCAAUUCCAGCUAGAAAAGUCGUUUGCACUGGUGAGUGGAUCAAUAUUGUUCGUCACAAUUAUAACAUAAUCCCUUAGCUCUUCUCUCUGCCAACUCUGUCUGAGUUAAUCGCUUGACAAAAAGGGUUUGGUUGCCUGUAUGGGUACUAGAGGUAGAUUAACCAACUAAACUAGUAGCAGACUUUGAUGAGUUUACCAUGCUGCCAAGACUUGUUGGGGACUACUGCCAUGCCACCAAGCAAAUAUUACUGGCGAAUAUUACGACUGACUUUCUGCAAUUGUUGUUUCUGUUCUAAAACCGGGCUAAACUCAUAGUUGCUGAUAAGUAAGGUGGUUUGAGAAGUUGCACGUCCAUUUUGAUUGAAUCAUCCAACCCGGCCAUAAAUAUUCCCACGUGCAAGUGUUCUAGAAUAAGCUCAUUAGCCCUAGCCAGCUUUUCUUGAAACUGAUGUUGAUAAGCUUCAACUGUACUAGUUUGCCGAAGCGCGACCAAUUCGCCCAUCGAAUUGCUACUUUCAAGAGGUCCAAAUCGCUGGAAACAAUGUUGUUGAAAUUCUUCCCAAGUCAUUAGGCCCUUCGCUCGUUUAAAUAAUAACAUAAUUGUGUUUCACCCAACAUGUGAAACCAGCCACUCCAACCUUUUCUGCUUCGAUUGUGUGUUGAUUUUCAAAAAAUUGUUUGCAACGAUACGUCCAAAUUAAUGGGUCAUCGGUACCGUCAUAAGUAGGAAAAUCCAUCCUUGCAUACAUUGGUAUUGUUGAAUGGGAAUUACCACUUGUUUGAUGAUUCUGGUCGCCCAUAAUUUGAAUAGGCAGAAUAUUGCCUUUAGUAGCAUAAUUUGUUGAUUUCCCAAUCGUCGGGGCGCUACUCGACACAGUUCCAUAAGUUGUUGGUUUUGUGGAUCCAAUUCCCAAGCUCGAAAAUUGUUCUUGGAUGACUUGAAUAAUUGUUUCACCGAGACGUCGUUCCAUAGUUGCAAUUUUCGAGUCUAUUAGGGAUUCAGUAAUCUCAUGUUCUUCUUGGAAUCCAGAAUUGAUCUCAUCGUCCAUUGUGAAAGACUCUGGUACCAAAUUGUUACUAUUCCUUGCAAACGCUCGAGUCACAGGACAAUCAACUAGAAAAUCUAAAUCAAUUCCCUUUGACUUCCCCUUGUUUUUGUUAGAAUUCCUAGAACGACCUAUUUUGUAUAACAAUAUUUGAUAUAUAAAUUCAGUUCGUUAAAAGGGAGACUGAAACCUAAGAGUUUAGUGGGAGAGAACUCCGAUCUCUUGAUUCUGGUUGAAAUUCUGCAUCAAUUUUAUUCCACAAAUCUCUCCUUAAAAGAGGAGUCUUUAUUACAGCAAAUAGGAAGCCUAAUCCUUACAAAACUAGGAAACACAAAACCUUAUUCUAGACUAAUAACAACACCUAGCAUGAAUCCUAUUUUAGAAUAAUAAAUAAAGCCACUAAUAAUAAAAUUAAUCUCUUAAUUUAAUUGUCCUUCCAGCGGGCAUAUGUCUUGCCUACAAACGCAUCCACAACAUAUACUUUCUAUACCAAAAGGAACAAUUUGAUCUUUAGCAAAAAGCAAAGUGAUGAAAGUGUUCUUCAACGAAUCCCCCGAAAUGUUUCAACUAGAGCUAAGGGUGCAAGUCACAUCCUAUGCAAAUUAUAAGAACUGGGAGCUGGCUAUUGCAUGGAACUUCUUAGUAUAAGUUUCCAGUUACAGGUGGGAUUUCUAUUUACUAAUCUACAUUUUGUUUCAGAUUUAGUUGCUGAUUUUUAAAAGUCUAUGCCACUGUUAAGAGAACUAGUGUUAACUAUUCAGCAAAAUAACAAGCACAAGGAUCAAGGAUGAGAUGGUAAAUAAUGGGUAAUUGUUGGAACAUACUUUGCUCCAUGCAUUAAGAAGGCUUGAUUUCCCAACAUUUGGUCGACCAACAAUUGCAAUCUGCAAGAUAUUCAUUACAAAUCAUGUUUUCUUAAUUAUUUGUUGCAAGGAGGGAAACAUGAAAAAAAAUUAUUCAUUGGACAGCCAGCUAAACAGCUAGAUGUACUUUAAGCUAUUCUCAAGUUCAAUGACAAAUUUAAGACGUGUCUGUUGUUUCUUUCUCCUUUUUGCUUUAAUAAUUAGUUCUCAGGAAAAUAUCAACUAGCCUUGUACAAGAACUUGGUCAGUCUUAGUGCAAUAUAAAACCUGUAGUCCUGACUGCAGAAGCUUGUCAUAGUUGGCAGUUUCCAAUGCAUUAUCCAGAUCAUGCAGCAUCUCAUAUAUUUUGUCCAUAAUUAGAUUCAGAUCAAGGGGUGGCAUCUCAUCGUCGAAGUCAAGACGAGCCUCAAUUUCGGUUAGCAACUCCAUACACUGAGAUCUUAGUGAUUUGACCAAAGAAGAAAAACCACCCUGACAAAAGGAACACAUCAUUCAGCAUCAUUCCCCAGCAUUAACAUAAAAUCCAGACAAAAUAAAACCUAGUGCUGUAUUUGUACCCUUAUUGAUGUAUCGAAGGGUCAACAAAUCUUUUCUUUUAGAAGGGUCAACAAAUAUUGUAAUUACAAAGUGAUUUUAUAUAGAUGACCACCUCGAUUCCUGCCAAUGCAGCAUCUGCAGCAGCCACUGACUUGGCUGAUAUCAACUUUUCCACAUUCUCAGCUUGAGAAAGAUCCAAACGACCAUUUAAGAAAGCGCGGAGAGUGAACUCGCCUAGUAAAAGUGAGAACAUAAAAAGUGGUGAGUUGGAGUAGAAAGACACUCACCUAUUUUAUGGUUAAACAAAAAAAAAAAGUGACAGUUGCUGUGAAUUGGCCUAGGAACUAAAGCUUUGACAAGUUAAUGCAAUGAAACUAUAGAACGUUGUUCAGACAAAUGAAUCUUCAAAAGAGUUUUCAAACUAUAGAGACCAAUUCUCAUAAAAACCUUAGCUGCUUUAGGUUCUAGACAUUAAAAGAGUCAAUUAAAAAAUACAAGGAUGAAAAUGAAACUAACCUGGCUCCGCGAGCUUUGCACCAGCCUCCAGGCAAGCCCUCAAAACACGUUGAAGACACACUUCAUUUCCAUGACACUGAAGCUCUAUCACAUCUUCUCUAGUGUAUGACUUUGGGGCCAGCAUAGGAAGCACCAGAACCUAAGCAUGAAAAAUAAAAGAAAAGGAAUUCAGAGAGAAAGAGAGAGCAGAAGAAGAAGAGUAAAAAUAUUGAAACUAUUAUCCAUGACUUCCAACAUAUUAAUUACUUUAGUGUCUCUUUAUCUUCAGGGUAAAGACAUGAACAUAUGUUGCCACUAGGAAUGCCCUGAAUGAACUCUCUUACAUUGUAUAGACACUUUCCCUCACCUUAUCCACAGGGUUGUAAUAGAAUUAAAGGGACACCCGAUUCCCCACAGCUAUGAACUUAAUAAGAACACAUAAAGGUACUAGAAAUCGUAAGGAGACGUCGCAAGGCUAAAUUCAGAUAUGAAGCAACAAAGUUACUAAACUCUUAAAAUCUCCAAUGUAGUACAAUUCACAUGUCAAAACUAAAGAACAAAUGCACCAACAAGAAGGGAAAAUUUAGAGUUUCAAAUUAUACCUCAUCAAUCACAUUUCCAUGAGAGUCAGAGACAAGACCAUACUCCACAACAUGGCUCUUAGGCCUCCACUCAGAAGAACUCCUGUUCUUCUUUUUCACUUUUGGAUGAAACACACGACCAACUAUAGGCACCGCAGAUGGACCAGAUAAACGUAUAAUCCCAACUGCAGCUGCUGGACCACCCAAAGAAGUGACAAUAGCAGCAAUAGUGCUAGCAUUCACAGCUGGGUCAAGAGGGCUCACAGUACCAAACCCCAAUAACCUCUCAUCUUGCUUCAGCACCAGAGUACUACUCUCUGCAAUAAAAAAUAUUGAAACUUCAGCAUUAAAACUAAGAUUUACAGCACCAGAGUGGUCUAUACAAUAAAAGAAGAAUUGAAACAUUAGCAUUAAACCCCAAUUCUUUUACAACCACAUUAUUCUCUCCAAUAAAAAGAUUGAAAAUUUUGCAGUAAAAAAACAAUCUUUCAGCACCAAACUAUUCUCUGCAAAAGUAAGACUGAAGUUUUAGCAUUAAAACCCUUUUUUUCAAGUAAUAGAGAACUCUCUGCAAUAAAAAUACUGAUUCUUUAGCUUUAAAAACAAUUGUUUCAGUUACAAAAGUAUUCUCUGCAAUAGUAAGUUUGAAAUUUUAGAAUUAAAAAUCAAUUAUUUCAGCACUAGAGUAUUACUCCCUCCAUUGCAAAGUACUAAUCACAAUUUCUUUUUUGAGACUCAAACUUUGACCAAAAUUUUAAGAUGUAUUUUUUCAUCAUAUUGAUAAAGAAAAAAGUUACAAUAUAUAGUACUUUCCGUAUAGCUUUUGAAUAUCUAAAUUUUACUUUCAAAAUAUCGAAUCAAUCUAAUCUAAUUUAGCUUUGAAAAUUAGUCAAAUUGACUCUCGAUAAGCGACCAGUGACAACUAUUUUGGUUUGAGGGAGUGUAUGCAAUAAAAAUAUUGAAUAUUUAGCAUUGAAAAACAAUUCUUUCAACACUAGAGUACUAUAUUCAAUGAAUAGAUUGAAACAAUAGCACUAAAAAUUAAUUCUUUCAGCACUAGUGUACUAUAUGCAAUAAAAAUACUGUAUCUUUAGCACUAAAAACAAUUCUUUAAACACUAGAGUGCUCUCUUCAAUGAAUAAAUUGAAGCAUUAACAUUUGGUACUAGGGAUAAGGAUAACUAAUCGCGGGAUUAAUUUUAUCAUAAGCUUGUACUAAAACAAGUUAUUUAAAGGAAUAAAAGGGGUAGGUAGAAAAUGAAGGAAGCUGAUUACCUUUAGAAGUAGCAUGAGGUAUGGUAGUGAGUUGGGAAGAAGAAAGAGGGAAAAGAGAAGAGAGUUUCGUGUGAAUUGAGAUUGACAAUUUAGGGAAGAAGGAAAAGGCUGCUAUGGAAGUGGGAAAAGGGGGACGUAGGUGGCUGAGAAGGAGAUGGCGGAACAUAGGAAGCAUAGCCAUUACUCAUUUGUGGCUUUGGGUUUUAGGAUUUGGGUUAAACACACUCGAGAAAAUUAGUUAGAAGUAUGGUGUGCAGAUAAUACCGUCAAGUUAAAUCGAAUCGAUGAAUCAAAUUGAGAAAAAAAAUUGACUUAUCAUUUGAUUUGAUUGAUUUGGUAUUAGAAAAAAACUGAUCAUUCUUGGUUUGAUUUAGUGUUAACCCAAAAAAAGUCAAAUCGAACCCGAAUCAAACCGACAUAAUAUAUAUUAUAUAUUAUAUUCAAACUUUUUUAUACAUAAAAUAUUAAUUAUAGUCUACUUUUUAAAUACUUUUUCAACUAGUUUUAGUAAUUUUUAAUAAUUUGAAAGUAGAUGUAGAUAUAUAUUUAGAUUUGGGUCUUUAAGUUGUAAUAUUUAUCCAUUAAUUGCUAACUAAAUGAUCGAAAAUCCAAAAUAAACCUAAAACCUAAACUUUUCACUCUUCAUCUCACUUUUUAGUUUCAAGAAAGUUUUUCGCUCCUCAUUUUUUCAUAAUUAUGGUUUUUCAUUAGCACAUGAGUGAAAACAUAUUUGAUCUAAUCUUCGAUCACAAUAUAAUUGCAAAAACUAAAGAUUAUAAAAAAAAUAAAAAAAUCGACUAAAACCUAAUCCAAAAAACAAACCAAUUGUAUGUUGGUUUGAUUUGAUUUAUAGUUUAAUAAACCGACAUGAUUGGUUUGUUUGUUUUUUUAGAUAAAAAAUCGAACCAACCCGACCUAUGUACACCCUUAGUUAGGAGGUGACAAAAAAGUAUUUCGAUUAAAAAUGGUUACAACUUUGACAAGUUAAGGUCAAAACUUCAUUUAAAAUUUUGAUUAAGUUAAUUAAGGUAUAAAAUGUAAUUUUUAGAAAGUCCUCCGACUCUAAAUUUCAAAUUUUAGAAUUUUCCCUCUUUUCUUAUCUUUCAAUUUUUUUUUCUUUCUCCCUCCAAAUUUCUUUCUCCUCAUUUCUUCUUGUUAUUUUUUUCUCUCUCUAGAUUUUCCUUUUAUUCCAUCUUCUCUUUUUUUUUUCCUCUUCUCAUUUCGUUCUUCUUCCUUUUAUAAUCUUUAUAGACUAUUUAAAAAAAAAAAUGAGAAGUUUGAAAGGAAAAUUUUUGAUUUCUUUUAAAUUAGCAAAUUCAACAACUACAAGAGUUGCUUCAGCAACUGCCAUAGUUGCUACAGUAGUUACGGUAAUUACUGCAACAACUACUAUUAGUUGUUGUAUUACAGCAACUUCGGUACUUAUUUAAUUUCUGAAAAAAGAUGUGAUUGGAGGAGGAUCCUACGAAAAGUGAUAUUUAUGAUAAAAAGGGAGGGGGGUGCUGGUGGUGACGUCGAAUGAGAAAAUGACAUUUAUUGCGGUGUUGAUAGCGACGGUGGUAGAGGAGAAAGAAGAAAAAUAGACGAUAGUUAUAUAGAGGGAGGAAACAAUGGUAAAUCUAAAAAAGAUGGCAAUGGUAGUACCAGUGAUAGUGGAGGAGGUGGUGGCAACAAAAAGGGUAUGGAGGAGGAGUGGUGGUGAUGGUGUAAGGAUCUUUGUGUAAAUAUAGUGUAGAAAUCUUUCUAUAAAUAAUAAAACUUGUUGGUUUUAAAAUUAAUGUCAUUAAUAUCAAUCUUAAAAUUGUCACCUCUACUCAAUAUUUAAGACUUGUGUCACUUUUUUUUAGUUUUGAAACUUUUUAUCACCCUUAAUUAAUUUGCCCCACUCACCUUUAAUUAAUUUGCUCAACACACUCUCCUUUGUGUUUUCUUCAUUCAUGAAAUCUGCAAACUAAGGGGUCGUUUGGUUUGAAAACAAGUUAUACUGAGAUUAGUUAUGCUGGGAUUAGUUGUCCGAAAUAAGUUAACUGGUAUUAUUUUUUAGUGGGUGUUUGGUUUGUGGUACUAAAAAUAAUAUGCAGUGCAUUGUUUAUAAAAAUAUAUUGUUUGUUUACAAAAAUACCCCUCACUUUAGUUAAUUUAUUAAUUAUUUUUAUGUUUGUAUUCCUAUGAUUUUUCUAUGUGUUCAAUUAUGUGCCAAUAUAUAAGAUUUAAAACAAAUAAGAUUUCAUGCCAUCCGACAGAUAUUUCUAUUGUCAAAAGCAAACUUCAGUUUUGAACCAAAAGAUGUUGGUGUGUUUUCUAAAUGAAAAAUGCUACAGGGAUAAAGUUAGUCGCCGAAUGUCAGUCUACCAGCAGAGUGAAGAAGAAAAUGAUAAGCAGAUCACAACGAAUGGCCACUAAUAUGAUUAUUAUUUCUAAAACUUGAGCUCAUGUAUUUGAAAAUUAGAUUAAGAAGAAAAAAAUUAUAUUUGAAAACUAGAAAAACUAGAUAAAAAAUAUAAAAAGUGAAAAUCAAAGGGUUUGGGGGUAGUUUUGUCAUUUUAUAAUUUUAUCCAAGGAUAAAUUAGGGUGGGAUAACUUAUACCACCAAAUUUAUGGGAUAACUUAUCUUGGUAUUGUUAUUAGUCUCAGGAUAAGCUAUCCCGAAUAUUACCAAUCAAACGAUGCAUUAAAAAGUUUACUUCGGGACUAUUAUUUCAUUCCAAAAUUAUUUGCUCUAAUACCUCACACCAAACUACCCUUGAGUGAUACGGGAAAACCAAGGAACUCACGAAAUGACUCAAAAUAGUCCACAAAACACACUCCAAAUCAGUCUACAAUCUUAAGGAUCCAAGGACGAAGAUGGAGACCACUCUCGGAUUCGCUAUCAACAAGAAGAAUACAAGAUACAAUGGUGUAUAUAACACCAAAAAUAGCUACAAAAUGUGAGGAACAAGAUGAAUAACAAUAAAGCAAGUUUCAGAUUUAAUAAAGGACCCAAAACAGUCCACUACACAAGAUAACAACAACAAAAGUAAAUGAUAGAUAGUGAAACCAAGAUUAUUACAAGAUUAAGAACUAAAGAGUGUAUUAAACUCAAAAACCCCUAAUAAAUGUAAUGAUAAAAAUCACACUCUUACGGUGACCGCCAAGGAAAUCAACUCACCUCAAGAUCUACCGUUUCUAAGCAAAGAACAAUAUUGGCUUUUCUAAGCCCUAAUUAAGAUUACACUAAGUUGGUCUACUCUCAAGAGAGAGGAUUUUCAAGUGUUUCAAAUUAUCAUCUUUCAAAACUAAUGAAAAUAAGAAUAAAGGAGCCUAUUUAUAAUCUAUUACAAAAUAAACACAAAAUGACUCCAAUGCCCUUAAUGAGGAGGGAUGGUUAUGGAGUGUCAUUUGGACAAAGAUAAGUGACCAAAAUGCCCUUCAAUCAAGGGAACCAAAACUGUGAACCAACAAGGUGGUACAAACCCGAGAGUACUUAAGUCUUCAAGUCUCCAAGCAAUCUUCCACACUCGGGUUUGAUUAAUGGUAGGCUCAAAACGUCCCCUCCAAGUAUGAUCUCGUGGCCUCCAUGUGACCAAAGCUUGAUUCUUCACAUAGUGACUUUGAAUGAUGUCGUUGAAAGCUAAGGUGGCUAUUAUUCUCGCAUCAUUAAGUAUCAAAGUAAUCUUAAGCUUUGAUACCAAAUGAUACGAGAAAGACAACGGAAGCACGAAACACACUCCAAAUCAGUCCGUAAUCUUAAGGAUCCGUAGACCAAGAUGGAGACCACUCUCGGAUUCGCUAUUAACAAGAAGAAUACAAGAUACAAUGGUGUAUGUAACACCAAAAACAGCUACAAAACGUAAGGAAUAAGAUAAAUAACAAUAACACAAGUUUCAGAUUCAAUAAAGGACUUAAAAUAGUCCACUACACAAGAUAAUAACAACAAAAGUAAAGGAUAGAUAGUGAGACCAAGAUUAUUACAAGAUUAAGAACUAAAUAGUGUAUUAAACUCAAAAACCCCUAAUGAAUGUAAUAAUCAAAACCACACUCUUACGGUGACCGCCAAGGGAAUCAACUCACCUCAAGAUCCACCGUUUCCAAGCAAAGAUCAAUACUAACUUUUCCAAACCAUAACUAAGACUAACUGUUCUACUCUCAAGAGAGAGGGUUUUUAAUGUUUCAAUAUUUCAUCUUUCAUAAACUAAUGAAAAUAAGACUAAAGGAGCCUAUUUAUAAUCUAUUACAAAAUGAACACAAAAUAACUUCAAUGCCCUUAUUGAGGAGGGAUGGUCAUGGAGUGUCACUUGGACAAAGAUAAGUGACCAAAAUGUCCUUUAAUCAAGAGAACCAAAACCGUGAACCAACAAGGUGGUUUAAACCUGAGAGUACUUAAGUCUUCAAGUCUCCAAGCAAUCUUCCACACUCGGAUUUGAUUAAUGGUAGGCUCAAAAUGUCCCCUCCAAGUAUGAUCCCGUGCCCUCCAUGCGACCAAAGCUUGAUUCUUCACAUAGUGACUUUGAAUGAUGUCGUCGAAAGCUAAGGUGACUAUUAUUCUCGUAUCACUAAGGGUUCCUUAUUUCAUGAGAAUAGUGCAAAGUAUAAUGUCAUAGUAAUAUGUGUAUUUAUUUUAUAUAGUAUUUAAUUUGGUGUAUUAAAAAUAGAGAAAAUACAUCAUUCCCUCCCCCUCCCCCCUCCCCCCCGAAACUUGUAGCCAAAACUUACUUUAGCACUUUAACUUAACUUAUAAUUAUUACCCCCUUAACAACUUUUAAGUGAAUUACUUUUAACUUCAAAUUCAAAAUUCCACUCUCGCAACGGAGAGUGCACUACACACGCGUCAUGUCAUCGCCAAAUCAGCGCCACGUUAUUGCCACAUCAUUGCCACGUAAGAAAUUAUAAUUUGUUUUAAAAAAAUAAUUCCACACACAUACUUUUUAUAUUUUUUUUAAAAGAAAAAAAUAUAUAUAGUAUUUUUAUCUUUAUAUAAAAUAUAUAUAUUUAUAAAAAAUAUACUAUUUUAAAUAUCUCUCUCUCUCUCUCUCUCUAUAUAUAUAUGUAUAUAUAUUUUAAAGUGUAUAUUUUAUAAAAAUAUAUAUUUUAUAUAAAUAAAAUAGACCAUUUCAACCAUUGAUGAUGAUGAUCCUCUACAAUCAAUCAAGAAAAAAUUCAAAAUAAGUUCACUUUCUAGUUCCAAGAAUUAAACUAAGCUCAUCAAAUCCACAAGCUCUUCCAAGAAUCAAACCAAAUUAACUAAGAUUUCUUCUUCUUCCUCUGAUUUUGGUACAAUCCACAAUCAAAUCAAGCUAGCAAAAAUGAAAUUCUCUUUGUCUGAUUCAAUUUUUAGUUCAACCAAAAUCAAAAUCAAGCUCAUCAAGCCCACCCUAGAAGAGAAACUUACACUAAAAUCCCAAUUAAAAAACCUUAAUUCCACUUUCACUAAAUACUCAAAUUCAACCAAAACCACUUCCCUUACAAUUAAAAAAUCCUCCCCAGAUCUAUCCAAAACCAACUCUUCUUUGUCAAAGAAUAAAACAACUAAAGAAACACCAUCACUAAAGACCUCAAUGAAUUCAAAUUCAAAAACCAAUCUUCCACAAGUAAAAGUGUUAAGAAAGAAACACACCAAUACACAAAGAAACGGGGUGGGGGUUCGAAGUAGAUGAAGAAACGGGGCGAAGAUUCAAAGUAGAUGAAAAAACGGGGUGGGGGUAAUAAUAAUAAUAAUAAUAAUAAUAAUAAUAAUAAAAAUAAAAUGGGCCCUUUUAAAAAAAAAAUUCACUCGCUUUCCUUUUUUUUUUUCCACGUCAGCCGUAGAGGGGGAAAUUAAUUCACUUGAAAGUUGUUAAGGGGGUAAAUAAUUGUCCGAUUAGUUUAGGAUCCAAAGUAAGUUUUGGCGACAAGUUUGGGGGGGGGUUGAUGUAUUUUCUCAUUAAAAAUAAUAUAAAUUAUAUAAUUUUUAGUUUUAUAAAAAAUGUUUACAAAAAUACUCUCUAUGAAUAUGGUAAAAAUGAUGUGGAAAAAUUUUUGAGAGACAAUUAUAUCUUUAAUCAUAUUAAUACGGUAAUACGUAAGAUGAAAAAGUGCACCAAAUAAUGUAUUAAUAAAACACAAAGUUAAUGCAUCCAUUGCUUUUACUAUUACAUUCUACCAAACGAUCCCUAAGAUCACUUAAAAUCGUUUUAAGUUUACGUUGUUUAAUGUUUUUUUUUUUCAAAAAUAACUUAUCACUUCAACAUCUACCAAGGGAGCUAGUCAAAGUAACUUUGUCAUUUUCAUGUUAGGAAUUUCUUAUGGACUAAUUCACUCUUCAUAGAUUAACUGGAUGUAAGAAAGCUUCCAUUUGCAGGUGAUUAUGUUUUUGCAUGAUUUUUCUCUACUUAAAUCAUUAUCUUACUUUUGAUAUUUAGAUCUUUUUCACCAACAAAGUUUUCACAAUCGACAGAAUGUUCUGCUAUUGACGUUUGAAAAGACAGAUUUCAAGGUUUUGUUACUUCGAUAAAGAAUUUAUUUCAGAAAAAACUUGAAUAAGUUUACUUUUAGUCAUAAUAUUCUAUCAAAAAUGAUGGAAAUCAUGGCUUUCACAAAUUUAUGUGAAACAAUUAUGUCUUCACAAGUUUUAUCAGAAGGGUCAUAAUUGAUAAUAGAUUCUUGUUUUGUCUUAUAUUAUUAGACAAUAUAUCUAGUUAUUAAAUUUUUUUAAAAAGUCCGUGUAGGGAUAAGCACAUGUUAAUUCAUAAGGUAAUAUCAUAUAUUAUUCUUACUAUUUUAUUAAACUAGCUAAAAAUAAAUAUAAAAAGAAAAUAUAAUCCCACAAAAAAUGACAUAUCUACAAGUUAGUUUCUAACUUUCUUUUUGACUAGCAUUUUUCAUGUCACGCAAUCCUUAGUGAGAAAAUUCAUAGGAAAAUUUUUGGAAAAAGUAUGAAGUUAAGAAUCACAAUCAUAUAUUUAGAGGAUUUUGAUAAUUUUUCAAACAAAUUUAGAAUACAAUUUAUGUAUUUUCCCAAUAUAAUGAUAUUUGAUUUUUUUAAAAUCUAUAUACGUUUAUAAAUUAAAUAACUAACCUUAAAAUCACCAAUUUCAAAUAUGGAAACAUAUUAAAAUCAAAGAAAAGAGACACCUAUAAAUAGCUAGAUGCCCUUUUUGAACCGUGUAAGAUUACCGGUAAGCUAAUUUCUGUUUUACCUUGUUUGUUUCCUCUUGUUCUUUAUAAUGUUUAGUUGCAAUAAUAUUUAUAGAUGUGUGAAAUAUUAUUAUAUUGGUGGUUUCUUAUUAUAGAGGGAUGUGCCUGUAUUUGUUAAUGUGGUGUGUAUAGGUAAGUCAGUGUGACCAGAACUAAGAGGACAAACUGUGGAAAAAGUUGUGAGUGUAAUAAAGCAAGAGAAACCAACUCUUCACCCAGUGGUGUUAAGCAUAUCGAAGUCAAUUCCAGAGCUAGUGAAUUGUACUCGUGUUAUCGUCUUUAUUAAUGACAAUAAUAAGAUUGCUCUCCCGCCCGUUGUUUGUUGAACUUCAUUAGUACUUUUAAAGCCCGUUUCGAUGGGCUUAUAAAAUACGGCUUAUAAGCCAAUAGCUUUAGUUUACUGCUUAAAUUUAAUAUAGCGAGUAGCUAUUUUAUGUCCCUUAAACUUCAAACGUAUCCACAAUUUCCAUCCUUUAUAAUAUAUGACUUAUAAGUCAAUAUUUGUUGCUUAAAUUCAAUAUAGUGAGUAUCGAUCUUAUGUCUAUUUAAUUUCAAUAAAACAUAUCCGCAUUUUCCAUCCUUAUUUCAAUAGACUUUUACUUAAAUUGUUUUCAAUUUUGAUCUACAUAUACAAAUUGUCAAUGUAUCCUUGGAUAUAUCAUGGUCUACUACAUCGAUUCUAUUUCAGGUAACAAAAUUUGUAUGCUAUCCCGUUAUUUUAUUUUGUGUGGAAAAUCUAAUUCAUGAAAAUAUAAUUGGUCUAAUUCGUUUAAAUUUAAUUUAAAUAGUUAGUUUAACUGACGGAUCAAUUUGGGUGAAUUUAAUUAAAUAGAUCAUCUAAAAAUGCGAUCGAGCAUGUACAUUAGAAAAAAAAGGGAAAGAAAUUUAGGGAUUUUGUUGGUUUAAAUAUUAUUAUAAUAGCUAAAGUGAUUUUUUUUCUAACUAUGAUUUGAUUAAUAAAUAAUAAAUCAGACGAAUUCGAGUUAUGGCUCAUUAUUUAAUUUAAAUUCACCCGCAUAUCUUUACAUAAGUAAAUUUUAAAUUGAUUAUGACUUUAACUAAUCCGUUUAUUGAAUAUUAUAUAUCAAAAUGUGUAGAGAAAGAAACUUUGGGGUUUUGUUGGUUUUGAUAUAAUUAUGACCAAAAAAAAAAUUAUUUUUACUUUGAUUUGGCAAAUAAAUAAUAAGUCAAACAAGUUCAAGUUAUGACUCAUUAUUUUGUCCAAACUCAUCCGCAUAUCUUUCGACAAGCAAAUUUUAAGUUGGUUAUCACUCUAACUUGGGGUGUUUAUGGGUCGGUUUGGGUUGGUUAUUGGUCAAAAUCAUAACCAAACCAACUUAGUCGGUUUUUAAAUUUCUAAAACCAAACAAAAAAUAACCGUCAAUUUGAUUCUUGUCGGUUUAAUUCGGUUUGGUUCGGUUUUUUCGGUUUAUAACUUUAGCUAAUGAUAAAAGUUGAAAAAUUUUAAAAAACAAAUGAAUAUAACAUAUGAGAUGUCAACUGAGUGUUGUAUCUCAACCUUGAAACUAUAAUGUCAACUGAGUAUUUUACUUCGACAGAGCUAUGAACAACGCCAUAUGAACGCUUCUAAAAAAUAUUUAAAAAAUACAUUUAACAGAAUGAUAUGAUAAACCCCCCAAAAUGUGAACACAUAAACUUGUAGCUCAACAAGGUUAAAAAAGAAAGUUAAAAUUAAUGAUUGUCGAUAGUCUAAUGAAUCUCAGCUAUAAAUUUCAAUAUACAACAAGAUAUUAUUUUUACAAUUAGUAUCCUUUGUCAUUCAAUAUGGUGUUGGUAGUUCUGGUGGUGUUAGUGUUGGUGUUGGUAUUGGUGGUGUUGGUAUUGAUGGUGGUGGUGUUAAUGGUGUUGGUGGUGGUGGUAGUGGGUGGUAUUGGUAUUGGUAUUGGUGUUGGUGUUGGUAGUAUUGGUGGUGGUGGUAUUGGUGGUGGUGGCAUUGGUAUUAGUAUUGGUGGUGGUGGUGGUGGUAUUUGUGGUGUUGGUGUUGGUGAUUUUGGUGGUAGUGUUGGUGGUGGCAUUGGUAUUAGUGUUGGUGGUAUUGGUAUUGAUAUUGGUAUUAUUAUUGGUGUUGGUAUUGGCGGUCUUGGUAGUAUUGGUGUUGGUGGUGUUGGUAUUAGUGGUGUUAGUGGUGUUGGUAGUGUUGCUGAUGGUAUUUGUAUUGGUAUUGGUGGUCCAUUUAUUGCAGCAGGUGGAACAUUUAUUAGGAGAUAUUAAAACAGGUCUUUAACGGAUUUCCCAUCUGUUGCAACAAAUGUUUCAGCUGUUGGCAUAAAACAAACCAGUAACAAGACUCUUUUGAUUUCCCCCAACAGGUUGUUCAUCCAUUACAACAGAUGGUGCAUAUAUUGUAACAGAUGAUUCAUCUGUUCCAACUGGUGGGUUAUCUUUUGGAAUAUUUUUUUGUAAUGUGGUAUAUAAAACUUUAUUGAAUUUUGUCUUACCUUUUUUUUUAAAAUUAUGCAGACAUCAAUUGUAAUGUAUUUUGUUUCUCUCUUGUUUCUAGGUAAAAGAUGUCUCCCAAAAGAAAAGAAACUGAAAGUGGAUCAACUUCUGACCACCUAACAAAAAAGGUUAGAGUACACGUGGAUUUAGAGAAACUUUCUGAACAAUCUCAGUCAGGAAAAAGUGAAGCUGAGGAAAGUAAUGAAAAUGAUGUUGAGGGAGGUGGAGAAGGGUAUGUAGAGUCUGGUGAGGAAAAUAAAAAUGAGGAGGAAGAAGAAGAAGAUAAAUAAGAAGACGAGGAAGUAAAAAGUGAGAAAGAUGAUGAUGAUCAACAUGAUGAUAGUGCAUCACUAAUGGGGCAUGAAUCAAGAUCGAAAUCCCAACAUGAUUCUGUCAAAACUAUUAGUAUUGACAGAUUUCAAAUUGAGAUGCUGAUAGAGAACCCUACAGAACUAAUUGGUGAUUUUGUAGUUAAAUCUCAGUUGGAGAAACCUUUUGGUGAAUUUAGAAAUAUUAUGAAGAAGGAAAAACUAGAGAAAUUUUUUAAGAAGAGCUGCUUUGGGCAUUUUCUUAAGCUACCUGAGGACAACAAUGCCCAUUUCUAAAUGCGCAUGGUAUAUGGUGUUCUCAAGUGCAGGAUCAAGUACGUGGGGGAUGAUAAAGAUUUGAAGGAGGGGUGCAAAGAUGGAUGAAAUCUGGAUCAACUACUAUGGCAUGUUAGUUUGUUUUGGCAUGAAAGAGUUUCCCAUAGUGACAGACUUGAGAUACGAUCGUCCAAAAAAACCUCUCAUCAAGAAAACACCCCUCAAAAAGUCCAAGGAAAGUAGGACAACCAAACCACCACCAUCAAAUAAAGGCAAGACAUUGUCCAAGCAACAACCCACCAAAACCAACAAACAUAAGAAAAAAAUAGAUGAGUUGUUGGAAAAUGCUGGACGUGGCUACAGAGCUACGAUAUUAUUAGAAGAUAUCAAGGAUAAAGCCUUACCAAAGAAGUAUAAGGAGAAAUUGUGCGUAGUUUGGUUUGCCCAUUCCGUUAUAUUGACAAGAGACGCUACAAAGUCAUAGAAGAUGAUUUGUUGGAGCUUGCUGGGGAUUUUGAGAAAUCCAACAAUUGUCUCUGGGGAUAUGACAACUACAAGUUGACUGUUACAUAUUUAUUGAAAAACUAUCCCCAAAGAUGAUCGCCUUGUAUGACUUUUAUGGUAAAUUUAAUCACUAUUUAUUUACUCUUGCAUUAGUUUAUAUUAAUAAUUAUUAUGACUUUUUUUGUUCGCUUCCUGUUUAUAUUUUUUAGGCUUGGGCAUUUUAAGCCAUUAUUCUUCUUCGAAAGAAGAUCAAGGAUUACCCAAUUUAGGUUUCUCAUCUAAGGAUCCUUAGGUGGUUGGCUGCAAAAAGCAACACAAAAAUUAAGGAGGUUGAUCUCUUUAACCCUCCAGAUGAUGCAGUAAGUCUUCUUUCAAGUAAAGUAAAAAAAUUUGAUACAAAGAUAUAUAUUGAAACAGAUGAUUCAUGUGUCGCAAUAAAUGGAUCAUCUGUUACAAUUUAUCUUAACAGAUGACUCGUCUGGUGCAACAAAUUGGUAAUCUAUUGUGUCAAAUAAGUCAUUUUUCGCAACAAAUUAACCAUUUGUUGCUUUGGUUCUCUGAAGUUGACUUAACAAAUUACCCAUAUACUACAACUUAUGCAACAGAUUGGUAAUCUGAUGUAAUAAAUGGUUAAUCAGUUGUCACAUAUGAAUCAUCUAUUGCAACAUAAAGAUCAUCUGUUGCAAAAGUUAUCAGUGUUAACAUAUUACCCAAUUGACUGCAAAUUAUUAUUUGAUUUAAAUGUAUCUACCUUUUUUUUAGGUUGUGCAUCCAUAGAUCGUACCCACUCAACAAGAGUUGGAGAUGACUUCUUUUAUUACUCUAGGUCUUGUUGAUACAAUAGUAGACCCAACAGUGGAGUUAAUAAAGAAGGAAUUGGCUGAAGCAACAGCCAUAAGAAGAGCAUUUAGGCAAGGUCAGCCUUAUUUUGAGACUCUUCAUAACCAAACUGCUGCAACAGAUCCGGGUGCUGCUUCUUAGGGUGUUUUUGGUGGAGUUGUUGAUGUUGGUGGUAGCCAUAUUGAUGAUGAUGAUGCUGCCAGUCAUGAUGAUGAGCAUGUUGAUGCUUAAGAAAAUUAAAUAUGUUUGAAUUCACCCCUUACAUUGGUCUCUCUCACCCUUAUAGUGGUCCCUCUCGCCCCUUUUCACCCUCAUAUUCUUAUUGCAAAUGCAAAGAGUGCAUGGACAGAAAAGAUAAACACUUUAAAAAAUAAAUGCUCUCGCUAAUGUUGUCGAGAAAUUGAAUUCCAGGAGGGGUGUCAUAACAUCCAAGAAGGUAGGUGAUUCAUACACUCCUACAGUGGAGGUUUGGAAGAAGAAAAAAAUAAUUAGACAUAUACUCUCAAUUAUAAAACCAAAAAAAUUGCAACUCCUCCUCUUCCAAAAGUUGAUGAAGUUUAGGGACCAUUGAAGAAGGUGAACAUAUGCGCCGAACUUGAAGCCAAACAGAAGGUUGUUCUAAGGAAGUACAUAAAUUCCAAGCAAAACCUUCACCAUGAAUACCUUUUCCCCUAAGACUUCAAAAAGAUGACAGAUAUGGUGUAAUAUCCCGUAUUAGCCUUAACCCAAUUUAUCCCCUAGUGUAUGUGUAAGAGGCUUAGAACCUGAAAAUUUAGCUAAGUAUUGGAGACUUAGACUUAUUUUUGACCCCUAAACUUCGAUGAUUUUAUUCUCGAUCUUUCUGAGCCCAAAAAUUGGUUUCUAAGUUAAUUCAUGACCAGGGUUGUUGAUAGUUCAUCUCGGGUGAGUUUCGGGUUUUUUGGAUGACAUUUGGGGCAUGUUUGGAUGGCCAAACCAGUGGACCAAUGCAAUAUGGUCGCGUCGCGUCAGCUACCAUAUUGGAAGCAGUAACGCGAUGCGGCAUUUAUCGCAUCGGAUUGAGCGACGUGGUGCGUCGCCAAAUGUGUCAAGGACUAGUUUGGUUUAAAUAAAUUUCAGGUCCAUAGGGGUAUUUGGGUUUUUUUUCCCCACUUUAAUUCAGCCAAAACACGGGAUUUAGGUCCCAAAACAACAUUUUUGCCUCAUAUUUUAGAAUUCUCUCUCAAGAACAAAACCCUAGCCCCUUCAACCUUCAAGAGAAAAAUUUCAAGAAACCCACCAAGAGCUUUCAAGAAUCCUUCAAUUGAGGUAUGUUAGAUGUUCAUCCAUGGGCCCUUUCCACCUAUGGAGUCUAAGAACCCAAUUUCAAGUUUACAAGAAUGAUGUUUACAUGUUAUUAUGAGCUUUAUACAUGAACCCCCAUAAGUUUUGAUUUUUACAUGAUGAUUACAAGAAAUUAUUGUUGAAAUUAAACCUUACACGUUUGAGUGGUGCUAUCCGCAUGUUAAAUCCCUAAAUCCAUGAGUUGUAGUAUUUCAACUAUGUUAGCAUCUCAUGUUUUGACUAUUCACAUGCUCAAGUCUAUAAAUUUCAAGUGUUUGAUGAAAUGCCUAAAUGAUUGGUUUGAAUAAUGACCCCUUGUAAGGUUUCCAAGAGUUUUUGGAUGAAAAGAGUCUUUACAUGUUGAAAGUCGAAGUAUGUUUAGCUAUAUCUUGGUAAUUUGGUUUUAAGUUAUGUUUUCAAUUGAUCUCAUGUGGAAUGCAUUAUAAUAUGUUCUAACUGUUGUGGCUUUCAGAUCAUGUUCAUGCAAAUUCAGAAUAAAACCCUCAGUUUAUGAUUUGGUCAAGUGCUUGUGCUAUCUUAUCAUGUUUAAAAAACAUCCCCAUGUUAAAGUCUAAUCCCCAUGUGUCUGAUGAAAUGCUUAAGUAAAUAAUUUUGAACAAUGAUUUCUUAUUAUGUUUUCGAAGCUUCAGUAUGGCCCUAUUGUUAUUGCUAUCGAGUCCUGGGGGUUAUGAAUACCCGAAAUUUAGCUGUUUACUUAGUUUUCAGCAUCUAUAGAAUGAUUUCAGUCAUGCCAGGAACAAUAUCAUUCAUUCCGUUAACAUGGUUAAGCUUAGUCCAGUUCAAUAAUCAGUGUCAGUUUAGUUGGGAGUAGAAUUUAUCACCGAGCAAACCUAGGGAUGGGGGUAUUCCUGCUAGGUUAGGGUGUGACCCUUAGUAGUAGUCCCUGAGUUACAGAACUGCGUACCCAACGUAGGUUGAUAUGUCUUCCUGCCAGAUUAGGGUUGACAUAUAUAUAUAUUUCAUAAGUCUUCCUUCCAGAUUAGGGUUAACACAGCCAUUGUUAGUACCUGUGGCACGGUACUAACACCCUUCCAACUGGGGUUAUAGGUUGGACCCCAAUUAGCUUAUUUGGGGUAUGUCGGUUAGAUGAUACCUCCCACAGUUUCAGUUACAGUACUCAGUAUAGAGUUCAAAUUAGUUUCGCUUGACCAUAGCUUUCAGUUAUCAGCGAUUCAACUACAGACUUUAGUUUCAGACUAUAUCAGAUAUGCAUUAUAUGCUUAGUCUUGCAUUUUUCAGUAUUUUCAAUCCUUACGUAUAUUCUCAUACAGUUACCUUACGUUAUUCAUUCAGUUAUCACUACUUGCAUAUGAACCCAUAAAUUUUAGCCUUACCUCAUUUAGCAUACCAGUAUAUUCAAAGUACUGAUCUCAUACUCGUUUCUUGCGUUAUGAUGUCUUAUAUCAUAGGUUCAGAUGCUUAAAUUCUCGAUCGUACUUAGACAUUCCAGUGCAUCAGCAGCAAAAGCCGUGUUAAGUCCUCUUUCUUCAAGGAUGAGUUAUCUUAUAUUCAGUUAUGUCAGUAGUUCAGUUAUUUAGUCAGUCGGAGUUAGUUGGGGGCUUGUCCCAUCAACUCCACAGUCAGAUAAUUUAGAGGCUUUUGGACUAGUAUAGACAGUUGGUCAGUUUUUAGUUGUAAUUAUCAGUUAUUUUAUUAGUAUUUUUCCAGACGUUUUAAACCAUAAUUCAGUAUUGAUUUAAGUUAUUAAAACCUUAUGGCAUUUCAGUUGAAAUUCUGCAUAUGGUGUUUAUCAGUUUUAUUCAAUGCUCACAGCAGAUACCAACUCAUGGGUUAACUUAUGGUCUCAGGGGGCCGUAAGCACCAUGUGGCAUCCAGGGUGUACUCCCGGGGCGUUACAUAUGAAUGUGUGGUAUGUGGACACGAUAAGUUUACUUUUCCUAACCUAGCCUUUAAUCCACUCCAUGAAGAAGAAGCUACGCAACAGAUGUGUCAUCUGUUGCAACAACUGGGUAUUCUGGUGCAACUAAUGAUUCAUCUAUUGCAUAAGUUACAUUAGAUGUGUAAUUUGUUAAUAGAUUUAGAGAACCCUGUGUAACAGAUGGACCAUCCUUUGCAUCUUGCUACUUUGUUUUUAUUUUUUAAAAUUAUUAGCCUAUUUAACAAUUAUCUUCUUAUAUCACAGUAUGUUGAUGAAUUCUUUGCCUCAUGAGGGGCAGAAAAUUAGCCUAUUCAAAUGCUUAUGAUGCUAGCGAUAGGAUAAUGGACCUCAACUUCUACAAUAAUUUCAAGGAUAGGUACGAUGAGCUCAUUAAGCUAGCGUCAACUCCUGGUAGUCGGGAUUUAAUUUGUUAGUUUCUAGGUUCGAAUGGGAUAAAGAUAUGAUUAAAUAUGUUACAGGAAAGAGGUCACAUCCAUACAGCAAGGACUGUAUCAAGGGAAAGAGAAUUCUUACAGUCAUGAACGUGGACGUAAAACAUUUUUUUGGCUCUUGAGAUACUACUCCAACAAGGAAUGAUAAGGGUUUAGGACUGCAACUUACCUGUCUUCGACGAGGCUGAUUUUUUUAUCAAGAUGCAGCCACUAUUGGACUUGUUCCCUAACUUGUUGAGCCAGAGUAAACUGAUGAAUCAUUUGAUAGCAAAAGUGUUGAGUGAAAAAAUGGGAUUUUAAAGGUCGAAACAAGGACAAGGGCCUUCUAAAAAAUGAAACAGGUGCCGCACUCGGGUCGUACGUGCUUGCACACAUAGAAUGUUUGCUAACCAACACAAAAAUAACCAACCCAACAACCUUUCUGUGCGACAAGACCGUAUCAAGGAUGCAAGAGGUUUGGGCUUCUGGGGUACUAACUAAAUGGUUGGAGUCUGUGUAUAAAAAAGAAGAAGAUGUAGAAACACAAACACCAUGACAAUUUUUAUUUCAAGUCACUUUACAUGUAACGAUAAUUUUUUCUGUUUGAUGAAAGUUAAUUUGGUUUAUUAAAUUUGGAAACUUAUGAAUUAGUACAAAAAUAUUAUCUUUAAGUUCAAAUAUUGCAACAGGUGCAUUAUAUAGAUAUGUAGACAUCUGCAUGAUAGAACAGAUUGUCUAUCUGUUACUAUCUGUUCUGAUAAAUAGUUUAUUUAUUACAAUAAGUUGGUCAUUUGUUGCAUUACACAGAUGUUUAUAUCUAAGUCUAUUUGUUGCAAAUGAUUCUAUUUGUUGCAACAUAUAGUCUAUCUAUUGAAACAAAGAAAACCAAUAGGAAAACCUAUUUGAUAAUUUCCAACAAAUGACCUAAAUAUUGCAACAUAUGUCUAAAUCUGUUUGAUAAUUUCCAAUAGAUAUGUCAUUUAUUGCAACAGAUACAUUAUCUGUUGUAAUAUUUGAAUCUAGUAAUCUAUUUCAAUUAAUAAGUUCAGAUAAAAUAAAAUUCAUAGAUAAAAUAAAAUACAUCGAAGCCUUUAGAAAUUACAAGAAAUAAAUCAACAAAAAAAUGAAAUGUAAAAAAAAUGUUAUGGGUACAGAUGAUCUACUCAACAAAUAAAUCAACAAUUUAAGUUUUGAUGCCAACAAUUUUUAAGAAGAGUUUAUUAAUUUGACAGACUCAAUCUAUAAAGAUCUGCUCAAUAUGGACAAGUUGUUCUUCAUCAGGUGCUAUGGAAUUCGGCUUUGAUCGUCGUGAAUCUUUAAUGUCGCUUGCGUAUAGUUUUUGAGAUUUUCUUCUCCGUAUUUCCACAAAAGAGUAGCAUAUCUUUUAAGGAGUAAUCCAUCAUCAAGUCCAUUAUUAGUACUUGUAAUUCAUUGCUCAAAUACUAGAUGUAAGCGACAACAAAAAGACCACAAAUCCCUGCGUUUGUAAGAAUCAGAUAAUUCAUAUAUUGCAAUUAAUGUAAGUGUUGUGAAAUUUAUGAAAUAAAACUAAAUCAUGAUACUUGAAUGAUACUUACAAAUACCAAUGGAUUGUUGAGCAAUUCCUUUAACAUAUUCUACGUCAAAUGGAUUACCAAUUUUAUCCUGGUAUGCUUCAAUCAUCGAUCAAUUAGUACAAAUCUUUUGAUCCAAAAAGCCACUUAUAUCAAGGUAAGUAGGCAAUAUUUUGACUAAAUUUUGUAUCUCAGACGAUGGACUAGAACAUUUUCUUCCCUACAUCGAGUCGUAAACUCAGAUGUGCCUCACUUUUAGAAUGAUGACAGCCGAAACUCAAUGAAAUUCAUCACCAUAAUUGAUUGGGAUGUACACUUCGUUGACCAAAUGUCAAGGUAAGCCAGCUAGAACGCUAAAACCUUUGAUGAUGUUGAUUAAGCAUUCCUCAUUUCCUGAACUUUUGGCUGUUGUUAACAAUACUUAUCGUAGGCAUUAUUGAUGUAAAAUUUGUACAAAUAAUUGUCUGUCGUGUAUCUAUAUUGUUCUUGUAUUUGCAACUUGGCCUUCUUUCAGAGGUAGUAAAAAAUAACAUUGAUGUGCUGCACAUAUAAUCAAACAUUUCAGAUUACGUGACAAUAAAAUUAAUACACAAAUAUAAUUAAAUAAUAUAUUAAUAGUAAGAUGUAUGACAUUUAAACCUCAUCAUUCCAGCAAGUUUGGGGCUGUGACAUCAAGUAGCACCGAUUCUUCGUUCUGGGAUUUGCAAUAACAAAGUCAAACAUAUCAAAAUCAAGAUCCGAUUAGUUAACUUUGUAGUAUUAGUCAUUUUAUUUUCCGCAUGAUUUAUAUGUGUUAAUGUUAUGUUUUUACAACAAGAAUUGUAAAAAUCAAUAUCUUUAAAAAUAAUUUAUGUACCUGUUGACAUGAAGCUUUAACAGCCCAUCGACAAUCUAUUCUGAUUAGUCUUUGAUCAACUUUGUUAGUUUGUUUGAAGUCUCGUCCGGGAUGUUGAACCCUUCAAACGGGUAAUUCUUCCAUUCUUCCGAACUGACAGGUUUCACUUUUUCUUCAUUGGAAGUAGUUGAUGGAUUAUCAAUUAUGAUAUUAUGCUGUUCAGCAGUAGCUUUUACUGUGACGUCCACCUGGAAAGCCAAAAUUGUCAAUGCUAAUCACAGAGAUACAAAAAAAUGGAAAAGGAUAACUCAUCUAUUUUAGCAAAUCAAACGGGUCUUCCUCUUAUUUUAUAUUGUCCCAACAGAUUACCUAUUUGUUGCAACAGAUGAAUCAUCUGUUGGGACAAAUUAAAAUAAGAGGAAGACCUGUAUGAUAAUUUCCAAUAGAUGACCCAUCUGUUGUAACAUAUGACUCAUCUGUUUGGAAAAAUUAAAAUAGUAAGAAGUUUUAAUUUAAUUUAUCCCAAUAUAUGACCCAUUUGUUGCAGCAGAUAGGUCAUGUAUUGGUACAAAUUAAAACAGUACGAAGACCUGUUUGGUUUGCUAAAAUAGAUGAGACAUAUGUUGCAACAGAUAAUGCAUCCGAUGCAUAAGUUAGUCAACUGUUGCAAUAUAUGUAUAUAUCUGUUUGAUAAUUUUUAACAGAUAUGUCAUCUGUUGAAACAAAUAUGUAGUCUGUUUGUUUAUUGAAACAAAUGAUAUAUAUUCACCUUCUUCAGCUCACGCUGCUCUCUUGUGGCCCUUGUACAUUGAUCAAAAGUGCAAGACAAAGACAGAAAAGUUGUAAUUUUGCUUUUUUGAUGCUUGAUGAUGCCUUGGAAAUUUCUUUCCUUCUCUUCUUAGCCGCCUUAAUCUCUAAUGGAGUGUAUAGAUAUGAAAUUCUAUUUGAUGGAAUGACACUCCUCUUAGAUGUUAAUUCCAUUACAAAAGCAGUUAAUGCAUUAAUAACAUUAAUCACUCCAUCAUAUUUCGCCUUGUAGUCUUGACAUUUGCAUGCAGAACAUUCGCUAGGAGGGGCAAAAUCUGUAUAACCAGUAUGAUCAUAACCAUGAUAGUUUGUUAUUUCAAAAACUGUAAGAGGAGCAUCAUUAGCCCCAACAACAGAACCACUACCACUACCACUACUACCACCAACAACUCCAUCACCACUAACACCAUCAACAACAAUAAGCCCACUCUCCAAAAUUAUUUUUCUUGUGAUAGUUGUUGCUCCAAAUAAUUUUUUUAUUCUAUCAAUGACCUUAGGGCCCGAUAAAGUUUACACAGACCAUAAAGUAAGAAAAAAUGACAUCUUUAACUCUCGAUUGGUCGAAACAAGUCACGAAUGCACAAUUUAAAAUAAAUCAGUAUAUAUAUUAGAAUGAUGAUUAAAUCAUUUAAAAAAUUACUUUAAUUAAAAUAAAAACUUAAUUAGAAUUAGACUUACUGCUUCCUUCGGGGGAUUGAAGAGAUCAAGAAAUUUUUUAUUUUUAUCAUUUUUGAUCAACAACCAUCUCAGGAUUCUUAUACAUGAAACUGCUUCCUGAUAGUUAACUUGUUGUUCAAAUAAGAAAUGGCUUCAAAUGCCCAAACCUAUAAAAUAACAUCAAUAAAUUAAAAGCAUUAUUCAAUUAAAAAUAAAUAAAUCAUAAUAAAAGAAAUAUUUACUAUGAAAGCUCAUGGAAAGCCAUAUAAGUUGACUGUCUUUGGCGUUAACGUUGUCAACGAAUAUUUGACAGUCAUUUUGAAGUUUUCAUAACCCCAAGGAUAGUUGUUAAAUGCCUUAAAAUCCUCGGAGAGCUUUAUUAAACCAAGUGGUAUGUUGUUGUUAACAUCUCUCGCCCAAAGAAUAUUAUAUACAAACCAAACCAAGCACAAUGAUCGUUUGUGCUUCUUUGAAAGUCUUUUACCUUUCAACACUUCUAUCAAAUUUUUAUUUUUGAAGCUUCUACCAACAAGGGACACCAAUUCAUCACCAUCACUUGCUUUGUCUUUGCCUUUUUUGGAUGUGCGGGGUGCUUUUUAAAGUUUGAAUAGGUAUAACUUGAGAAGGAGAAGGAGGAUAACACUUUAGUCCAGUAACUAUGGAAAUCUCCUUCCAACCAAAACAAACAGGCAUGCACAGUAAUUUAUCCACACCUUAUCCAUCUUAUCUUUAUUUUCAUACAUAAACCUACGCUUGAAAAGAUCAUAUACCAUUUUCAUUUAAAAACGAGCAUUGUGUUCUCCGACAAAUCAAGAUAUUGCCCAAAACAGAUGUCCUUGAAAUAAGCAUCCAAUUUUUAGCCUCGAAGUAUUUUUCUGAAGGCGUCAAAUUUUUUUUCCAUGACUAACUUAACCACGAAAUCACCAGUUAAAUCUGUGGCACCAUCGUACUGUAUUCUCACAGGAUAACUAUCAAUGCUAAAGGUUUUGAUCAACUCUUCAGUGGAAGGGCUAUUAGCAUUUGGAUCAUCUCUUUUGAAAUAUUCCUCACCCCAUGUUCAUUAUCUUCUGCUUCUGAUUGAGAUAUCGCUUGUAAAGCAAGCUCAUAGAAUGGUAGAUGUAGCCUAGUUGCUUCACUUGUUCCUUUACUUGGACUUGAUUCAGUUUUUUCUCUUUUGGGAGCCAUAUUAUCUAAAAAUAACAAAAAAAAAAUAAAAAAGAUUAUAAUUGAUUAAUGUAUCACUAUAGAAAGGAUAACAGUAAAUCUAGCAUGUACAAUAGUAAAAUAACAGUUUCAACAGAUCAUACAUCUGUUGCACCAGGUAGGUUAUCUGUUGCAACAUAUAACUAACCCGUUGCAAUGGAUGAGUAAUCUGUUGAAAACAAUAAAAACAGAUUACUCAUCUAUUGAAAUAGAUGACUGGUUUGUGCAACAGAUCAUUUAUCUAUUGCAGCAUAUGAUUGAUCUGUUUGAACUAUUAUCAACUGUCAAUAUUGUUUAGAUUUCUUCCAACAGAAGGUCCGUCUGUCACAACAGAUGAAUGAUCUGUUAGAUUGUUUAUCUAUAGCAUCAGAUGGUUCAUAUGUUGCAUCAGAUAGUUCAUCUGUUGUAGAAAAAAACCAAUAACAAGAUUUUGUUCAAUAGAACAACAACAAUAUCACCAUUUAAUAUCAAGUAUACUAUUUUUAUCAAUAACAACAAUAAAUCAACCCAGCAAUACCAACACAACACACACACAUCAAGAACAUCAAUAGUGAUAAAAAAAUAAACUUUGUUGUUUUGUUUGUACAAACACAAAAAACAAAAAUCAAACUUAAAAAAACUCAACAGACACCAGCAACUCGAAUCAACAGUUCGACAACAAGAACUACAAUAAAAAUAAAAAGUUAUAUUUCACUCUGAAAAGAGAAGAGAAGAAAUAUCAGAAAUUAGGGUUUUUUUUAGUCCCUAUUUUAAAUUUUAAAUUUAAGCAACAAAUUAAAAUUAUUGACCAAUACUAGAAGAGAAGUUGACUCAAGUUCUGAUUUUUCUUUAUAACUAAAAAGCAAUAAUUUUUUAUCUGUGAAAGAAGAAAAGCGACAAUGAAGAAUUCGAAGUUGUUGUUGCCAGAGAGCAAUAUUGUCACGUCGAUUGAUGAUUGAAAGUCGAAAAGGAACUCGAAGCCCAACUAUUUAUUGUCGGAGGUUGAAGUUGUCGGAUAUUGAAGGAACAAAUUUGCAAAACUGUUCAUUGGGAGAAGUUGAGAGAAACUGUCGGGAGAGAGGGAAGAGAGGAGAGAGACAGUUAAUUUGGAGAGGAGAGGGGUGUGGGUUGAUUUGUAUUUUUAAAAAAAUUAAAAAGUUUUAAAAAUAUUAAUCAAGUUCACAAUUAAUUUAAUAAAGUUUUCUAAUUAUGUUUGACUCUUUAAGUUGGUUACUGUCACCAAUUCCACAAUAAAGACUUAAAAGAAACAUUUCCUUCAAUUUUCUUAAGAAACUUGUACGUUAUUCUUUAGAUACUUCAUUUUAGUAAUAUUAUCAUUUAAUAAAUUAUUUACUAUUUUACCUCGCAUACAUGUGCAACACACAUGUCGAGAAACUAGUAUACAUAUAUAAAAAUUUAAUUAAAAAAUAUAACUUAUAUUAUAUAUAUUCUUUGUCUUAUAAUUAAUAUAAGCUAAUGGCAUAAUAAACAUAUUUUGUUUAUAAGUCUUCAUAAUUAUUAAAGUUUUUAAUUAUAUAAUUGAGUAAUUUUAGAUAAAAAAUAUUUAUAAGGAAAAAAGUAUUAUCGGAGAAUUAGAACAUAUCAAAAGUUUACAAGUGAUUCGAUAUUUUAUAUAAUAACAUAAUUUAAAAAAUUAAUAAUUAUGAUUCGAUGAAGAUCAUAAAUAAAAAAAGAUUGAUAUUUAUGAAUUUGUGAGCAUGUAAUUUACUAAUUAUAGAUAGAAAUAAAUUUAUUUGGAUAUUUACUGAGUUUAAUUUUUUAUCAUAAUUGCAUGUGGCAAAACUUUUUACAAUUUUUUCUUGAAUCAUCUAAUACAACAAAAUAUAUCUAUUAACUUCAAUUUUAUAUUAAAAAAAAUUCUAACCUCAAUUUAGAUACACAAAUUAAGUUAACAAUGAUAUUGAAUAAUAAAACUACACUAAUAGAUUAUUCCAUUUAUUUGUCAUGUUUAUUUUUUUAUAUGUCCCUUUAAAGAAAAUCAUGUUUGUCUCUUUUUAAUUAAUUGUUUAUAUUUUUUUAUGUCCACGAAAUAAUAAAGACAAGGUAUUAUUUGUUAAAUUACCCGAUUUAUUAUAUGUUUCUUUUAAUUUACAAUCACUUUAGUUUAUUUUGAAUAAAGGAAAAGCGCAAGGAUCUCUUUUAACUUUAAGAGGUUACUUGUAGAAUAAUAUUGCUAGCUUGCAACUCUUUCCAUAAACAUAGAUACAUAUGGCCAAAUAAAAAUUCUUUUUAACCUUGUAAUUAUAUGCUUCAAAUGUUUUUAUUAGGUGUACAGGAACUUCCAAUUUUAAAGAAACUUUAAUAUGCGUUAAAAUCAGUUCGUAUUUGAAUAGAUUGUAAGCAUUGCAAAAUAUGUUGUCUAUAUCAUACCCCUUGAGGUGCGGUCCUUCUUCGAACCCUCUAAUUCGAGAUAUUUUGAGCUGCCUUUACACUUGAAUAGAAUGUAAGCUUUACAAAGGAUUCACACAACAAACUCCCCAAGUAAAUUUGUUUGAGCCCCAUUUAAUUGAUUCAUUGACAAACACAUUCUUGGUAUACCAUUCACGGUGAAUGGUAUACUGGAAUCACAUGCAUAUAUACCUGGUAAGUUCAACAUUGCUUAAUUUCAACAAAGCCUCAUCGAGAAGAAAGUUUUGACCUAUACAAUCCAACAGGUAGUUAACAAAUCUAACAUACAGACAACUCUAACAACCCAAUUGGCUUAUGGACCAUUUUUCCCAAGGUCAUCUCGUCUACUCAUUCUACAUUAAAAUAUAUAUGCAAGUUCGUUCUAUUGGCUGAUUUUUCUUUCUCCAAGUCGACAUUAGACAACUUCUCUCGGCUAUAUAUGUCUGGACGUUCAAGCAUAGGUGAGUUUCCAUGGUGUAUUACAAUUACAACUUUAGACUACAUCUUCCGGGGACUUAGGGGACUUUGAGCAACAGGUCAGGACAGCAUCUGAGACGGUGAGAAAGAUCUUGUCCUCGCCAAUUUGAUUCACGAGAUCAGAUGCAUGCAGCUUGUCAACCACUACUCUUCCAGGAUUCGAGAGAACAAGCUGUUCAUACACACACACACACACAAAGGGUAAGAUUUCCAUCACAUUUGAACUUGUUUUUGGUUCAGAUAUACUAUGUUUGGGGUUAAAUUAUCAGGUUUAUGAAAAUUACCUGAACCUCUCUCUUUUGUAGGCUGCUGUGCAACUCUUCAAAUGCAUGGAUGCCGCUAGUGUCAAUGUCAGUCACAGCUGCAAAGAGUAAGUGAGAAAUACGAGAUAAGUGUCAUUUGCUUCUGCUGUUCUCAUAUUUGCUUGAAAUUUUUAAAGAAAAAGGUAACCAUUUUCUCCACUUACGUGACAUGUCAACUAUCAAGAACUGAAUUUUAGGUUGGUUAUUGGAUUCUAGUUGCUCGUCCUCAUCCGUUAGCCAUCUCAAUAUCCUGGAAAACAAGUUCAUUCUCAUAUUUUAGACCCUUUUAGCCAAUAUGAAGCCAGAAUUACUUCAUGUUAUCAUGUUGUCAGUUGAAAACUGAAAUAACUAUCACAUCAACUCCUAUUAAAGAUGGAAGAAAUUAUGUCUUACCUCUCUUUCAUGUAGUUAGAAUUUGAAAAGUAGAUCGCAGAAUCAACUCUCACAAUUAGUACACCGGGAACUUGUGUUGCCUCGGGAUAUUGUUGAAUGUUCCUAUAUACAUUUGUCCUAGGGAUCUUUCCAAGAAGAGCUGUUCGGGGUCUUGUGACUUGGAGGAGAAUCUUAGCAAAUGAUAUGGAGACCUAUUUAAUAAUAAAAACAACGAUAUCCAAUCAUUGAACUAUUGCAGCUUUCCCUAAUGAAAUUGUUGAGUAUGCUAAGAGAAAUGCUUACAGCAAUUAUAAGGCCUAUCUCGACAGAGGCGAAAACCACACCAAAAAAUGCUCCCAUGCAAGCAACAAAAUCAAAUUUGUCGAUCUUCCAAAUCAAAAUUGUUGCUUCAUAGUCUAUUAAUCCAACGACAGCAGAGAUAAUGAUGGCAGAGAGGAUUGCAUUCGGAGUGUACUCAAAAAGAGGGGUUAAGAACAACAAUGUCAGGAACACAACAAUAGACAUAACAAUGUUGGAAACUGCAGUUUGGCAUCCAGACAUGCAAUUUACUGCUGAACGAGAGAAGGAACCUGCAAGAGCAAAUUGAUCAACUAGUUACAGAAUGCCAAGAGAAAAGCACAAGGAGCAUUUGUUUGUCUUAAUUAUAAAACAUGACGAAACACAUUAGCAGAUCAAUCAACAUUUGAUUUGAAGUGAUUGUUAAAUUUUAUAUGUUUUAUGAGUACUUUAUUCAUUUUUUCUACCUGUUGUCACAUAGCAUGAUGUCAUGGAGCCAACAACAUUCAUUGUUCCAAGUGCCACCAUUUCUUUGUUUCCAUCCAACUGAUAGUCUUUCAUUGAAGCAAAUGAUCUUCCGAUUGCAACAGCUUCCUAUGAACAAAAAGAUAAAAGUAUCACAAUUGAGUAGACGAACCUAGAAGUCUUGCCAUGUUUCAACAUUUAAUAUACCAACUUUCUUACCGUCAAAGCGAUCAUGCCAGAUACAAUACCAAUCUUGAUCCCUUUUAGGAGAUAAUUGCCGGUGAAAUAUAUUUCCUCGACAGAAGGAGGAUUGAUUCCUUUCUCAAUGUGUCUCACCUGGUAAGGUCAUUACAGAAUUACAUGAAAUAUUAUUUCACUAUGUUCAAGCUGAGUGAUACCAGAAACUUACACAAGAAAAAAAUUAAAUAAUGCCACGAAGCAACUAACGAAAGCACUUACAAUCUCUACUCCUAGUUUUUCAGCAUGGGUUAUGUAGACAAAGAAGGUGGAAAGAACGACAGAGAUUAGAGGAGCAAUUGCAGGUACCCAAAAGAGCUUUUUAUGCUUCUUUCCCUGAUUUUCAAAGUCAUUUAAGAAUCAACAAGAAGCUACCAAAUACUUUAGGUUCAAUUAUAGACAAAAGUUAGAAGUCUUACAGCGUACUUCGCGAACAAAAGGAACGUUAAAAAGAUUGCUCCAAUGAGAAUUGUCGGCCAGUUCCACUGCAAGUUUUUUGUCAAAAAUAGGUGUCGUUAUUAUCGUUUAUGCAUAUAAAACCUCUUAGGUAGGAUGCCUAGACGGGCAAGAUAACUUACUCCAUGGUGGGCUGAAUGCCAUACUGAUUUCAUCACCGAAAUGAUAUCAGUUUUCUUAGUAAACUUCUUGAUGCCAAGAAAACCUUUAAGUUGCUGGAGGGCAAUAGUGAUGGCCGCACCACCCAUGAAACCAACAAUAGCAGCAUGUGAUAGGAAGUCAAUUAAAAAUCCUAAUCUGCAAAGGAUUCAAAACAAUAUUAAAACGAGCUGUUUGUUGGAAAGUCGUAACAGAAAAAGAAACCAAAAUUUUUUUGCAUCAAAUAAGAUGAAGUCGAAAUAUAAGGGCACAACUACAAGCUCUUAAUCCUUAAUAUUCUUCUAUACCUUAGGAUUCCAAGGGCAGCUUGGGUAAUGCCAGCAAAAAAGGUAGCUGUAAAUGCAAGCCUCCUGUAUUCAAUUGGAUUUUUGGUUGGAUCGAUUUCACUGCUGAGGAGAGACCCAAGCAAUAGGGAUACAACAGCAACAGGUCCUAUGGCUAUAUCUCUCGAGCUACCCAUUAAGGCAUAAACCAAAGGUGGAACAAAACUGGAGUCUGGCAAAUUUAAAGCAAAACAAGUAUGAGAAAGGCUCUUUUGAUACAAUACUAAAAUGUACUAAAUAGAAAAUUGACGCUUACAUAGCCCAUACUGAGGAGCUAAGUUUGCAAGCUUCGAAUAUCCAAUGUCCUGUUAAACCAGAUGCAAUAUGAUCAAGCUCAUCAAAAGUAAAACUCCAAACUUCAUUUGAUUUACACAAGUCAUGUGUGCACGUUCUAUACCUGAGGAAUGCAGAGACUUGCAAUAGUGAGACCAGCAAUAAGAUCGCCUCUGAAUUUGGAAACAUUAUAGCUUUUACCCCAAUCUAGUAUGGGAAAUACCGCCUGCAAACCAAGGAGAAACUUACGAGACCUUGGCUGAUCCUUAAAGGGACGUAGAGGAUCAUCUGAAAACAAUGUUUCCUUCACAUUAGUCUUAAAUUCAUCGAAUAGGUUCUGUUUAGGUGGAACUCCAACCUUGUGCAUGUAUGGUGGUUGUUCGUGUUCCGAGGAUGAUAAACUUCGGUAGUCCAUUUCUUUUGUAUCUAUUGCCUCAACGCUAGAUCGACCCAUCUUAGAUUAUAAUGGUCUAAUUAACCUGUAACACAGAGGUAAUAUAAUUUCUAAUACAUUAGUACGAGAAAUAUUAAGUUCCAACACAAGUUUGUCAUUGAGCCAAAUCAAUAAAAUGCAUUUAUAAGUUCCAAUUCAAGCUUAUUAUUGAGCGAAAUCAACAAAUGCAUUAGGUUAUAUGAUCAAAUUAAUAGCUUCUACUCAACUACUAAACAAAUCCUCCAAAUCUUAGCAUUAUCCUGUACUACAUCCUCUAAAACUUCAGAGCAACUAAUAAGAGAAAGAUGACGAUAAAAAACAAUCAAGGCACUAAAGAAGGAUCAAUGACAAUAUACCACAUACCAUUUCAAAUUACAUGCAUGCAGAAACUGAAGGAUAGCUAUAUUACCAUAAGAUAACUUUGAAACCUCGUAUUUUAGAGUACUGAUCGGAAAGUUCUUGCUUGUCACUUAUAUACAUCAUCAGAAAGUUAGAGCUUCAAGGUUUGGAAUUUUUAGCGACUCGUAUUAUUAUUUCUCGAAAGCACGUUGAACAUGAUAGAUUUUAAAGACAAGACUGACAAACAAAAAUGAAAAAAUAGCAGCUAAACGUUUCAAGGGAUAUAUUCUUUUCUGUCUGGUAAAUAUUUAGCAAUACAGUAAACUCAAAGUGGUUUGGUCCUUCCUGAUCCACUGAAUAACGGGAGCUUAGUGCAUAGUCUUUUCAAAUGGCGGGAUACAGAAUUUCAAAAAUAGUGAUGUUUCUCCAUUUCCAAGAUCAGAAGGAACAUUUGAUGUGGACAUCUUAAAAAGGCCUUUUACACCUUGUCAUGUUGAAGUUAGCUAAUUUUUUGCAUAAACUAAUAUAUAAGCAGGAAUCCACAUAAAGAAAGAAUAAAGUAGAAAACAGUUUGGUUGGUCACACAACUAUUUUCUGCAAUUAUAUUACAAGUAAUUAUUUGCAUGAUAAAUUUCUUAGCUUAAAUUACUCCCUUUAUUCAUGUCUACUCUCCAUCCCAACUCCCUUUCUUCUUUACUAUAUGAGGGAAAAAGUUAAAUUCCAAAACAAGAAGGGUAUAAUAAAUCAAAAUAACUAAAAGCCAGUCCCCAACCACCUCCUUAAAUUUUACUUUUUCCGAAUUUAUCAAUUUAAAAAGAGAAAAGUGACAAAUCUCAGUACAGUGGUUCCAUUAAUGCAACUGAUUACAAUGUUACUCCACCUCUUUUAUUAUUAUUUUUUACUCUUUACACACUUAACAAGAAUUGGAAUCUGAUAAUAAUAUAAUCCUAAAAUCAAAUAUAGUGAAAUUAAAUUAAUAAAACUCAACAUUUUCACUAUACAUUUUCUUUUUAUUUGUCAAAGGACUAAGGCCAAAUUAUAACCUCAUUCCAUAUAUAUAUAUAUAUAUAUAUAUCAUUGAUGGGGGAAUGGCAUAUUAUUAGUGCCAAUUCUAACAAACCCCACUUUGGUCAGGGUCCAUGCAGAACCAAAUAUUUUUUUUCAAGUGGUGUCCCGUACCUACAUUGAAAUUGACUAAAUUCGGACAGAAAAUUCCACAUUAGGAUAAAGCAAUCCCUAAUAAAGAUGACUCCGCACCCAAAUUGCGAGACUUUUAGCUAAGGAUGAAGUAGUACUUAGCCUCCACCACAGCCAGAGGCGGAGCCAGUCCUCUUUAAGGUUUGUCCGAACCCCCUUCGACGGAAAAAUAUACUAUUUAUACAUGAUUAAAAUUAUUUUUUACGUGAUUAUAGUAGGUUGAAUCCCCUUCGACUUAAUUUUCUUUGACUAUUGAACCUUCUACUUAAAAUCCUGGCUCCGCCUCUAACCACAACCCUAGUUGAUACCUACUAAAUUAAUUAAACAAACAAGAAACUAAAGGAAGGUGUAAAAUGCUCUAAGAAAAAAGCACACUUAAAACAAUAAAAUAAAGAUACACCAGAAGAUAUCAAGAAAAAGACACAUAUAGAAACAGACAAUGAGAUUAAAAUAACUACCUAACUUUUUGUCGCACGCUUAAUGAUCCUCGUACUUCUUCUGGGCAUAAAAAAAGGAAUUCCAAUAAACACAGAAAAAGUACACUUAGAAAAAUAAAAUGAAAUUGACCCUUCAAGAUCAAGAAUCCAAUCAAGUAACAAUCUCAAAUCAUGUCUAGGUUCAAUGUAUUAAAUUAAGAAGAAAAAGAAAAAAAAAAUGCAAAAAUGUUGAAAAUUUUCAAUCAAGAAAGAUGUCUAGAUGAAUGCAUGUGAUUUUGUAAACAAGAAAAACAAUAUUAUUAGGUAAUGAGAAAAAAAAAUGUGUAGUGUCUUUCUUGUUUGUGAAAAAGGUGGGGUAAUAUAAGGAGGAAGUAGUAGUAAUGUUUGCACCUACUUUUUUGUUAAUUAGUUCUCAGCGAUUCUUGUGGUACAUUAAUUUCCUCAAGUGUAGGGCCUAUAUAAUGUGUGAAUCUUUACUGUGUUGCUGUCCAUGUUCAUUAACAUGAGAUGCUUGACCAAAUUCCUAUGUUUAAAAGGGUAAUAAGAGGUUUAUUGCGGACCUGGAUUUGGGCUUUCCACUGUGAACCUCUGGGCCCACUUCUAUUAGAUCAGGAUCUAAUUUGAAGGUCCAACUGAAAGGAACACUCAAGACUGCAUUUGUUUUUAGGGAAACUUUUAAGAAAAUAGUCAUUGCUUCAGCAAAUUGGAGUGCGCCUAGUCCAACUGAAAGGAACACUCAAACUGCAUUUGUUUAUAGGGAAAUUUUGAGAAAAUAGUCAUUGUUUCAACAAAUUAGAGUGCGCCUAGCCUAUGUUUAAAAAAUUAUCAUCUAUAACUAAUGUAUCAAUUGUAUGCAACUGACUGUAUUUGAUAUAAAAUAUAUGCAAUUGUAUGCAACUAAUGUAUCAAUUUCUAUCAACGAAUUGUAGCACUAUCAAUAAUAGAUACACAUUCAGUACACAUACAUACAACAACACUAAUACAUUUAGUAUCAAUAAUGAAUAUUAAUCUUAUAUAUAAGCCAAGAGCAAAAGGACCAACACUGCAUAGGCCAAUUGUACCAAAAGAAAUAAAAGUUGUACUAACAAGUGUUAGACUAUGUUGCAUCAGAUGGUAGUCCAAAGAGCUAUCUAGGAUGUACAGUAAAAUCCUUUAAGCUCUUUUCUCUGUCUGGCCCAGUUUUAUUGGCUAUAAUGAUGUUAUAUGCUCGUGUAAAAAACUGAAAUAGCAUCUUAUGAUCAAAAGGUCUAAAGAGCAAACUAAUUCUCCCAGUUGAACCGACCCAAGCUGCUCAAUCUCUAUUCCUUUCUCUUUCGAACUUGAAUUGGUGAUUCUUUCUUUAUAUGGAUCUGUUUUUAUGGUAUGUGAUGAUGGUAGUACACCUACUUUACUCCUACAAUGUCGUUUGGAUAUAUUGUUUUCAGUUCAUAUAUGAUAUUUGUUAGAUUUUGUGAUUUUUGAAUACUUUAUUAUAGGAUUUUGUACUUGCAUGUUUCUAAUUUUGUUUGAUUUACAAAUGGAUGUUUGGAAAUUGAUUCACUUCUCUCUUUUCUUUGUUUAGUUUACAUUUUUUGAAUUUCAUAGGUAUUAAUGAUCAUAAAAAACUUGAUUGACUUUUGAAUUUUGAUUGAUAAUAUCGUUUGGUUAGUUCACCGUCCUGAUUUGAUAUUUGAGAUUCAUUUUUUGAUUUUCAUAGUCCAAUCUUUUGGUUGUUAAAAAGUGAUUAUGAUCUUAAUUAUGGCUCAAGCUAACGGUAGCACAAAGCUCAAAAAGUAAUGUGGCGAUAUUCAAAGGAAAACCAUUGUUUUGGGUCAUAACCAAAUUUUCUCCCACAUUUCUUCUGUGCCAUAACAAAAUUUCCUCCCACACUAGCAGAGUUCUAACAAAUGGUUAAGCAAUUUUCUCCAUGUGGUAAGCCAGUUUUUCGGAUACCACUAGUUUUUCAGACACCAACUUCCCAUAUGAACCAAAAUUGAUUUUUCUUUCCUCUUUCAAGAAUGAAAUGAAUUUAGAGAUGGUCACAGUUGUUCCAACUUAGUGUGUGUGACAAAAUUCUCAGGCAAAGGAAGAUAAUUACAACAAGUAUGAUAUCUUUUUUUCUGCAGCUAUCAAUACCAAGUUCAUUGCUUAGCUUAAUAGUAUGGAUAUUAGUCAUUGAGAUUUCUUUUGUCAUGUUAUUGUCUACUUUAUGCUACAUAUAAGGACAUAUAUCUUGGAUUGAAAAUUGACACCAAUUUUGUUGAAUUGUGCUCUCAUUGAAUUUGCCACAUUUGCUUAUUUGGUGUUAGAAUUAUUUUCACAAUAGCAACUACCUUCUCAAACUGUGGACAAAGAAUAGGAUUACUAGACAAGAAAAAGGACAAUAUGUUUCUUUACAGUGUUCUAUUAAAAGUUAACCAAUAAAAAAUGUGUUGUGUUAGCAUAUUUCUCUGAAAAUUAUUUAACUGAGAAGGCUUAUAUUAUGAAAAAAGUGGAGAAGACUUCUGAAGUUUAUACUUUUUAUUUGUAAUUUUGUAAGGAAAAUUCUAACUUAAAUUGGUAUAUUCUUCUUUGUGCAGUUUAUAAAUUUUCAUGAUAAAGAUGCUACUUUCAGUUUGCUGAUACAUGUAUUGAAUUCCAAACUUGAUUUCGUAUAUGUAUAUCAGCAAAUUAAGUCGAUUUCAACAUUUUGUUCGAAAUCAUUUUUGGUACAUUAAAAUAUUCACAAUUUGAAGUGUAUUUUGAUUAUUUACUCGAACUCUGUUAUAAUCUGUGUGUUGGAUUUACCUGCCUUUGUUUCCUCUUCUUUUUACCUUUAGUGGCCUAGAAAUAGGUGUCUAAUAAAUCAAGAAGUGCUGCAUUUUUACUUACAAAAAUACUUUAGUACUAAAUACUUACUAUUGUCCCUUUAAUUAAUGUUUUUUCAGAGAAAUUAAGGUGGUCCAAUCCAAGAUACAUUAAAUCAUUUUCAGUUGAUAGCAUGGCUAACAACCUUUCAGAGGGACCAUCAGAUGAUUUCUUUGAAAAAAUCUUGGGAUUCCCUGCAUACAAUGGAGCUGAACCCAAUUUGGAGAGAAACGAUCCCAGAGCUAUACCCUCGGCGAUGAUGCUCCAAUUAAACAUCGAUGAUAAGUUAGGGCAGUUUAGUGAAGUUGGUCUUGGUGUUGGACUAGGUGUUCUUGGGGGUGGGGGUAGGGAUUCCAUCAUGUAGGGGUAGUGGUGGUAGUAGUUCAUUUCCAUUGGGGUUGAGUUUAGAACAAGGGAAAGAUGAUGGUAGGUUCUUGAAGAUGGAUGAUGUUUCAACACCUGGAAGAAGAUUUAGAGAUGAUGUUAUUGAUAGCAGUCCUUUGUAAGACCCCGCAGAAUCCUAGACAUUUGAGUCCUUUAAAGCAUGCCUAAAAGAGGUCCUAGACUUAGACAAUUUCAGCUAAGUGUUAGGACUUAGGCAUUUCUAAAGCCCUCAAACUUUGAAGAAUUUAUUUACGACCUUCUUGACCUCAAAAAGUUAGUUUUUAAGUUGAUUCAUGAUCGGGGAAGUCAAUAGUACAUCUCGGGUGAGUUUUAGAAUUUUUGGACAAGCGUAAGGGCGUGUUUGAAACUCCAAAAUAGUGUCCUGAGGCGAUUAUCCUACAACGCCCUACCUAGUUUGGUGUUGGGGGGAGCUCGCGAUGCAGACCACAGCAUCCUGCCCAGAGCGGUGCUCUAGAUCCCGCGGCGCUCUAGAUCCCGCGACGCCCUGGCUAGUCCGGUUUGGGUAAAUUCUAUAAUUUUGUUCCGUAUUUUUAAGGGCAAAUGGGUCAUUUUUCCUUCACCCAAUAGGUCCAUAACACGAGAUUAAAGCCCCAAAUAGCAUAAUUGCUCAUCCUUUUCACAAAAUCCUCUCAAGAACAAGCCCUAUCUUCAUCAAGUUCAAGAAUCAAGUCUCAAGAACUCACCUCAAUCUCCACGAAAUUAACAAUCAAGAUAUGUUAGGUAUUCAUCCAAGGGUUUUCUUUCUCCCUUGGAGUUCAAGAACCUCUUUUAAACUAUAAGAUGAUUGCUUUCAUGAAUUUCUUGUUGAAUUUGGUUGUAUUCAUAAUUAUGAUGUUAUUUAGGUUUCUAAUCCAUUUUUUAUGACAAGAUUCAUGUGAAGUAAUUAACCUAUGUAUAGUCAUGUGGAUUUAUGUUAAAAGUCCCUUGAAAUUGUGAGUUUGGAUUGUAGUCAUGAUGCUUACAUAUUUAUUAUCAUUAUGUGUAUGAAUUAUACUCCCUAAGUGUUUGAUAAAAUGUUCAUGUGGGUUGAAUACAUAAAUAUUAACAUGUUAGCAUGUAUAUAAGUUUAUACCAUAUAUGUUUGAUAAAAUAUUCAUGUGGGUUGAAUAGAGAAAUCAUAACAUGUUAGCAUGUAUACAAGUUUAUACCAUGUAUGUUUGAUAAAAUUCCUCAAUGGAUGAAUUGUGAUAAAGUGGUUAGUUAUCAUGCAUUCAAGGUUUGCUAUGUUUUACUUUUAAUGCCAUCGAGUCCUGGGGGCAUUCAAUACCCAAAAUCUAGCUGUUUACUUAGAAUUUCAGUAGCUAUAGAAUAGUCUCAGUGAUGUCAUAUACAGUAGUACUCAAUCAGUUACAGAACUCAGUGUAUUCAGUCAGUUAACAGAACUUAGUGAACUAAGUCCAGUUCAGUCAGUUAGCAUGAUCAGUAACAGCUUAGUCCAACCUAGUACAGUUUAGAAAUCAGUUCAGUGUCUAUUUCAGUUGGGAGUAGGAUUCAGCACCGAGUGAGCCUAAGGAUGAGGACUUACUUGCCAGUAGAGGGUGUAAUCCUUAGAAGCAGUCUUGCAUUCCAGAACUACAUAACCAGCGUAGGUUGAGACAUUAACCUACCAGUUGAGGGUUGAUGAGAUGUCUUACCUGCCAGUUGAGGGUACCGUCGUUCUUAGUCAGAGCACCUACCAGAUGAGGGUGACUCAGUAGCUUGUAUUUACCCGUGGCACAGUACUGACACCCUUUCAACUGGAGUUACAGGUUGGAUCCCAAUCAGUUCAGAGAGGGGCAUGUCGGUUAGAUGAUUACCUCUUAUAUUUUAGUUUUAGUCUCAGCAUAGAACUCAUUUAAGUUUUACGACAUCAGGACUGUCAAAAACAGUCACCCAGUUCAGUAUAGAACUCAGUUUAGUUUUGUAAAAUUAGGACUGUCAGAAGCAGUCACCCAGCUAACAGUAAUACAGUUAUCAGUGAACUCAGAUAUCAGUCAUUCAGUUGUCAGAACUCAGUACCCAGUGUUAAUAUGAUCUCAUUUAUAGUAUACAUAGUUAUGUUCAUAGUAUUGCAUAAUCAGUAUUUACAGCAGUUUCAUAUAUACAUGUACUCUCAUUCAGUUAUAUUCAUGUUACUCAACCAGUAUUGUUCAUGCAUAUAAACCCAUGCAUUCAUCCUUAUCUCACUUAGCAUACCAGUACAUUUAAAGUAAUGUUGUGUACCUUUGUUUUGUGCUAUGAUGUCUUAUAUCAUAGGUUUAGACGCACGGGCUCCUAAUCGUACUUAGCAGCCCAGAUUAUCAGCAAUAUACUUAGUGGUGAGUCCUCAUAGUCUAAGGACAGAGUUGUUAUUUUAGUAUAUUUUCAUUAGUCAGAGUUAGUUGAGGACUUGUCCCAUCAACUCCAUCUAUAGAGGCUUUCAGACUAGAUUAUGUCAGACAGAUACUCAGCUUUCAGUAUUUAUUUACCACUAUUUGAUUUAAGUUAUGAAACUUAUGGCAGUUCCAGCCUAAUUUCCACAUUAUUACAGUAUUGUUACUCAAUUAUUACAGAAGGUGCCAGUCAUGGGUUAGCUUGUGGUCCUUCAAGAUUAUGAGUAUCGUGUGACGUUUGAGGUGCAGACUCGGGGCAUUACAAACUUGGUAUUAGAUUCUAAGGUUCAACAGAGUCCUAAGGAGUCUGAAAGCCGCGCCUAGUAGAGUCUUGUGCAUGGGUGUGUAGCAUGCCACACUUAUAGACAAGAGGCUAUGGGGCAUUUUAGGAACAAGUUCCCUUCUUUCAAUAUUCAUAUCGUGUGAGAGAGCAUGAGAUUAUGUUAAACUCUUAGUCCAAUUCUUUUUUCAUUUCGCCUACAGAAUAUGCCUCCCAAAAGGACCAACGGAAGAAGGACUGGGAAUCAGCCAGCACCUCCGCACACCCUGCCAGAUCCCCUGGAUGAGCAUGUUUCCCAUGCCGAAUUCAAAGCAGCUUUCACCACUCUAGCUCAUUCUGUGGUAGCCCAGAAUGAAUGUCCAACUGCCAUCCAGGCUGACCUAGUGGACAAUACUGCUGCAUCUAGAAUUUAGGACUUUACCCAAAUGAAUCCUAAAUUAUUUAACGAGUCUAAGUCUGAAGAGAACCCAUAAAAAUUCCUUGAUCAGGUGCAGAAAGUCACAGAUAUUAUGAGGGUGAAUGCUAGUGAGAGUGUUGAGUUGGCCGCAUAUCAGUUGUAGGAUGUGGCUCACUUAUGGUUCAAGUAGUGAAAGGCAGAGAGGGUCGCUGAUGCAGGGCCCAUAGAAUGGGAGGAGUUUGCUACUACUUUUCUUGAUAGGUUCUUCCCACUAGAGUCAAGAGAUGGGAAGGUUUUAGAGUUUUUAAUAUAAAACAAGGCAACAUGACAGUGAAAGAGUAUUUUUCAAGUUUACUCAGUUAGCCAGAUAUGCCCCUUAUAUGGUAGCAGAUAGCAGAUCAAAGAUGAGUAAGUUUGUGUCGGGUGUGUCUAAUAGUGUGGUCAAGGAGUGUAGCACCACAAUUCUGAUUAAGAAGAUGGACAUAUCCAGGCUCAUGGUCCAUGCUCAGCAGAUAAAAGAGGAUAAGAAUAAGGAGAAGGAGAGGGAGAACAAGAGGUCUAGAACAGGUAGCUUUAACUUCGCUCAGCCUAAGUCAGAGGGUGGAAAUUGUUCUCAGCUUUGCCUAAAAUCUUUAGUUCCAACUCUGUCCUCAGCCAGUGCUCCAGUGCCAAAAUUUAGAGACGACAAUAAGAAUAGGGCACUAGGCCCUAAGACCCAGGGUAGUGUUAGCAGUGCCCGGAUAAAUUCUCUUUGCCACAAGUAUGGCAAAAACCAUCAGGGUGUCUGCAGAGCUGACAGUGAUGUGUGUUUCGGAUGUGGAAAGCCAGGACAUAGAAUUGGAGAUUGUCCUCAGUCAGGUUCUCAAGGUCAGUAUAAUCGUCCUUCAACUUAGUCCGAUCGCCCAAAUCAGUAGGGUGCCACUUCUAGUGCAAUCAGUGGGCAAUGCCCAAACAGACUCUAUGCACUUCAGUCCCGACAGGAUUAGGAAAUUUCUCCUGAUGUGGUUACUGGUACGUUACAAGUUUAUCAUUUACAUGUUUAUGCUUUGCUAGAUCUAAGAUCUUCUUUGUCCUUUGUAACUCCUUAUAUAGUUGUUGACUUCGGAGUCAGUCCCGAAAUCCUAGAAGAGCCCUUCUCAGUCUCUACCCCAGUAGGUAAAUCUAUCAUAGCCCGACGGGUAUACAGGAACUGUCCAGUUAUGGUAUCUCAAAAAGCCACUUCAGCAGACUUAGUAGACUUAGAGAUGGUGACAGAUUUUGAUGUCAUUCUUGGCAUGGAUUGGCUUCAUUCAUGCUAUGCUUCAGUUGACUGCAGAAAUAAAAUUGUCCAUUUUCAGUUUCCAAAUGAACCUGUCCUUAAAUGGAGGGGUAGUACCUCAGCACUUAGGGGUCGUUUGGUUGGGAAUGUAGUAAUACUAGGAUUAGUUAUGCUAGGAUAAGUUAUGAUGGGAUAAGUUAUACUGGGAUUAUUUUUUAUUGAGUGUUUGGUUUGUUGUAUUCAAAGUAAUACGCAUGGUAUAAUUUCUCAGAAUAAAUUAAUUGAUUAACAAAAUACCCUCCACCUUAUUGACUUAUAUAUAUAUAUAUAUAUGUAUAUAUUUCUUUUCAAGCUUUAAAUGUUUAUCCUUAAAAAUAAAACUUCUAUCUUAGUUAGCUUAAUUUUUUUUUGUGUGUGCAUUUUCAUAAUUAUAUCAUGUGUAUUUUAAGAAUAAAACUUUCAUUUUAUUUAACUUUAAUUUUUUUGCGUGUGUCUUCCCAUGAUUAUGUCGUGUUUGUUUAAAUUUAGUUUGAAAUAAAGCCUUUCAACUUAAGUUUGUUAAAGUAAAAGAGGAUUUGUUGUUUAUGUCUCUUCAUUUAAACACGUAUCACUCAUAUAAUAUAGAAUAUUAAAAUUCAUUUAGUUGAUAUAUACAAUAUCAAUUUUUAAGUGAUUAAAAAAUUAUUUAAUUUAAAAUAUGCAAUUCAACGAUGGAUUCGAUAUUUUUAUUAUUUUUUAGAGAAAUUAAAAUAUAUAAAUAAACAUAAUAAUUAUUCAAAUAAAUUUAAUGUAUCAUAUAUUCAUAAAUAAAAUAUUUCUUAAAUGUAUAUGAAUCUCUAAUAUUUCAUGUUAAAUUACUUAUUUUGUUCUAAAUUUCAUAAAAUAUUGAUAAUCUCAUUUUUUGUUAAAAAAAUUCAUCAUAAAAAAAUGUGAAAAAGAAUUACUCUCAUUUUUCAUUAUUUAGUAUCACUAAUAUUUGGAGAGUCAAAUUAUAUUUUAAAAAAAAAUAAUUAAACUUUCAAAUAUUUUUAGCUAAAUAUACAAAUAUUUUUUUAUUUAAUAAUUAAGCAUGUAUUAAAUUAGAAAGGGAAUGUCAACAUACUUUAAUAACUUGUCAUGAUUUUAUUAAAUACCUUAUAUUUUAUAUAAGAAAAAUAAGGUAAUAUAUAAAAAUAAGGUUUUAUAUAUAUAUAUAUAUAUAUAUAUAUAUAAAGUGAUAGUCUAAGAAUUUGGAGGGCAAUUGUGUCUUUUUCUAAUUUUAUCCCAAAGAUAAAUAAUGAUGAGUUUGUUAUCCCACCAAAUGGGUGGAUAACUUAUCCCGGUACUAUUUAUUAGUCCCGGAAUAAGUUAUUCCUAAUAUUUCCAUCCAAACAUGCAUUAAAAUUUUUAUCCUGGGAUUAUUUAUUUUUGUACCUUAAACCAAACGGCCCCUUAAGGUUCAGCUUGUUUUCUACCUAAGGGUGAGGAAAAUGAUAUCAAGGGGUGUGUCUUCCAUUUGGUUCGAGUUAAGGAUUCUAGUUUCGAGACUCCUAGUCUUGAGUCAGUUCUAGUAGCAUGUGAAUUCUCAGAUGUAUUUUCUGAAGACCUUCCCGGUGUUCCUCCUAAGAGAAAAAUUAACUUUGAAAUAAACCUUCUCCCUAAUACUCAACCUAUCUCUAUCCCACCAUAUAGAAUAGCUCCAGCAGAACUCAUAGAAUUAAAAUAACAGUUGAAGGAUCUCCUAAAUAAGGGAUUCAUCAGACCCAACGAAUCCCCUUGGGGUACACUAGUUCUAUUCGUGCGUAAGAAAGACGGUUCUCUCAGAAUGUGUAUUGACUACCGUCACUUGAACAAAGUCACGGUCAAGAACAAAUAUUCACUUUCCAGAAUUGAUGACUUAUUUGACCAACUUCAGGGUGCCAGUUAUUUUUCUAAGAUAGACCUGAGAUCAGGCUACCAUCAGCUCAGAGUCAGAGAAUGUGACAUUCCUAAAAUAGCUUUGAGAACUCGGUAUGGUUACUUCGAAUUCUUGGUCAUGUUAUUUGGUCUUACCAAUGCCCCAACAGCAUUCAUGGACUUGAUGAACCGUGUGUUCAAGCAGUACUUGGACAUGUUCAUUAUAGUAUUUAUUGAUGACAUUCUUGUCUACUCCCGUAGUGAAAGUGAUCAUGCAGACCAUCUCAAAUAGUAUUACAAACUCUUAGAGCCCAUCAAUUGUUCGCCAAAUUUAGUAAAUGUGAAUUUUGGCUAAGGUAGUAGCUUUCCUCGGUCAUAUAGUUUCCUGUGAUAGUAUUAGAGUUAAUCCCCAAAAGAUCAAAGUAGUAAGGAGCUGGCCUAGAUCCAUCUCUCUGUCAGAUAACAGGAGUUUCUUGGGUUUGGUUGGCUAUUACCGACAGUUUGUUAAGGGAUUUUCGUCUAUUGCAUACCCCAUGUCCAGAUUGAUUCAGAAGAAAGUCAAGUUUCAGUGGUCAGAUUCUUGUGAGAAGAGUUUUCAGGAGUUGAAGACUCGACUCACUACAACCUCAGUUUUGACUUUACCAGAUGGUUCAGAUUGGUUUGUGGUAUAUUGUGAUGCUUCCAGAGUUGGGUCGGGGUGUGUUUUGGUGCAGAGGGGUAAGGUCAUAGCCUAUGCCUCUAGACAACUUAAAACCCAUGAAAAGAAUUACCCUACCCAUGAUCUUGAAUUAGCAGUUGUAGUGUUUGCCUUAAAUAUUUUGAGGCACUAUCUGUAUGGGGUGCCUGUUGAUGUGUUCACAGACCAUAAAAUCCUGCAGUAUGUGUUUUCUUAGAAAGACCUAAACCUAUAUCAAAGAAGGUGGUUAGAGUUGUUAAAAUACUAUGACAUGAGUGUUCUGUAUCAUCCGGGAAAGGCCAAUAUAGUGGCUGAUGUUCUCAGUAGGAUGUCUAUAAGUAGUGUUGCUCACGUUGAGGAUGGUAAGAAGAAGUUAGUUCAGGAAGUUCAUCAGAUUUCCCGACUAGGUGUUCGCUUAGUUGAUUCAGCAGAGGGUAGCGUAUGGGUGCAGAAUAGUUUGGAAUCAUCUUUGGUUUCCGAAGUAAAAGAAAAACACUAUAGGGAUCCCAGUUUAGUUAAACUGAAAGAGUCAGUCAGAGAUUAGAGAGUAAAGGUUUUUUCCCAAGGGGGAGAUGGUGUAUUGCGUUAUCAGGGUCAGUUAUGUGUGCCAUAUAUGGAUGGUGUGAGACAAUGGAUUCUUGCAGAAGUGCAUGGUGCGCACUACUCGAUUCACCCAGGGGCCACUAAGAUGUUCCACGACUUACAAGAAAUCUAUUGGUAGAGUGAGAUAAAGAGAGACAUUGCAAAGUUUGUAGCUAAGUGCUCGACAUGUCAGCAGGUUAAGAUCAAGCAUCAAAAGCCUAGUGGACCUAUGCAGGAGUUCAGUAUUUCCACUUGGAAGUGGGAGGAGGUGAACAUGGAUUUUGUGAUGGGCUUGCCCCAUACUCACCGCCAGCAUGAUUCGAUUUAGGUCAUUAUGGAUAGGAUGACCAAAUCAGCCCACUUUUUACCAGUUCACACCUCUUAUUAAGUCAAAGAUUAUACCAAGCUCUAUGUUAGAAAGUUGGUCAGAUUACAUGGAGUUUCAUUGUCGAUCAUUUCAGACAGAGGUAUGCAGUCACCUCUUAUUUUUGGAAAGCAUUCCAAAAGGGUCUUGGUACCCAAGUUCACCUCAGUACAACCUUUCACCCCCAGACAGAUGGUCAAGCAGAAAGGACUAUUUAGACUUUAGGAGAUAUGCUAAGAUUGUAUUCCAUUGACUUUAAGGGCAAGUGGGAUGACCAUUUGCCCUUGAUUGAGUUCGUGUAUAAUAACAACUAUCAUUCCAACAUUUAGAUGGCUCCGUUUGAGGCACUUUAUGAGAGGAGAUGUAGAUCUCCCAUUGGUUGAUUUGAAGUGGGUAAGGUCGUAGUGGUAGGGCCUGACUUGGUAUUUGAUACCUUAGAAAAAUUUCAGUUGAUCAGGUAAAGGCUUAAGAUAGCUUAGAGCCAACAGAAAUCAUAUGCAGAUGUGCGAAGAAAAGAUCAAGAGUUUGAGAUUGGUGAUUGUGUGUAUUUGAAAAUCUCACUUAUGAAAGAAGUGAAGUGGUUUUGCAAGAGGGGAAACUCAGUCCCCGAUAUGUCGGUCCUUACUGAAUUAUCAGCCAUUUUGAAAAGGUAGCUUACGAGCUUGAGUUACCUUUAAACUUAGUUUCAGUACAUCCAGUGUUUCAUGCUUCCUUACUAAAGGAGUGCAUAGGUAACCCAGUAGCUGUAGUCCCUAGAAAGGGUAUAGAUGUUCAGAACAGUCUCUUUUAUGAGGAUGUUCCAGUCAAAAUUCUUGAUUUUUAGGUUCACAGACUGAGGAACAAAAAGGUUUCUCAAGUCAAAGUUCUUUAGCAGAAUCAGUCCGUUGAGGGAGCUACUUGGGAAAUAGAAGCAGAUAUGCGGACCAAAUAUCCUCACCUCUUUUAUGCAAACUCAGACUCAGUUCAAGGUAAUAGUUUUCCUUGAAUUUACUCAGAUUUUCUUUAUAACUCUGUACGGUUCAGUUGCAUAACAUCCUCAUAUCAUGCAUACCUUCAUGAAACAGCUGAGUCAUGCGUCAUGUCUUCAAAACUCAGUCAUGCUUCAGUUAUGCAUGUUCAGUAUGAUAACUCAGUAUAUUAAUAGUUUUAGUCAUAUAAUCAUGCUUCAGUUGUGCAUUGUUCAGUGUAUAAAUUCAAUCUAUCAACAUUCUCAGCUUUGUCAGUCUCAUUCGAGGACGAAUGUUCCCAAGGGGGAGAUAUUGUAAGAUCCCGCAGAAUCCUAGACGUUUGAGUCCUAUAAAGCAUGCCCAAAAGAGGUCCCAGACUUAGACAAUUUUAGCUAAGGGCAAAUGGGUCAUUUUUCCUUCACCCGGUAGGUCCAUAACAUGGGAUUAAAGCCCCAAAUAGCAUAUUUGCUCAUCUUUUUCACAAAAUCCUCUCAAGAACAAGCCCUAGCUUCAUCAAGUUCAAGAAUCAAGUCUCAUGAACUCACCCCAAUAUCCACGAAAUUAACAAUCAAGGUAUUUUAAGUGUUCAUCCAAGGGUUUCCUUUAGCCCUUGGAGUUCAAGAACCUCUUUUAAACUACAAGAAGAUUGCUUUCAUAAAGUUCAUGUUGGAUUUGGUUGUAUUCAUGAUUAUGAUGUUAUUUGGGUUUCUAAUCCAUGUUUUAUGACAAGAUUCAUGUGAAGUAAUUAACCUAUGUAUAGUCAUGUGGAUUUAUAUUAAGAGUCCCUUGAAAUUGUGAGCUUGGAUUGUAGUCAUGAUGCUUACAUAUUUACUAUCAUUAUGUGCAUGAAUUAUGCUCCCAAGUGUUUGAUAAAAUGUUCAUGUGGGUUGACUAGAGAAAUCAUAACAUGUUAGCACGUAUAACAUUUUAUACCAUGUAUGUUUGAUAAAAUGUUCAUAUGGGUUAAAUAGAGAAAUCAUAACAUGUUAGCAUGUAUACAAGUUUAUACCAUAUAUGUUUGAUAAAAUGCCUCAAUGGAUGAAUUGUGACAAAGUGGCUAGUUAUCAUGCUUUCAAGGUUUGCUGUGUUUUAAUUUCAAUGCUAUCGAGUUCUGGGGGUAUUUUUCACGCCGCUUUUUUUUUUUUAACUCCAAAAGGAUUUUAAGUUUCGAAAGGAUUUUUAUUAUUAAAGUGACAAAAGUGAAGAUUUAUUUCGAAAAGGACUUCUUAUAUUCCAAACUCAGAGUCGCCACUUGGCAUAAUCUGGUGUGCCAAGCCACCUUUGAAAAUCCUUUUCAAAAUGAUUUUGACUCUAUAACUGAUCCGCAAAUAGAGAUUCCAACUAAGGAAUUCUGUUGACCGAGGGGAAGGUGUUAGGCACCUCUCGAUCUCGUGGUUCGACCACGGUCGCUUGAUAGAGUGUAUCGGAUAAUUUGACAUUACAAAUAUAUAAACCACACAAAAACACAAAUAACAAUCAAUCAAACACACCAAACAAAACAAUCCAAAAUUCAGUGUUCAGUCAGAUUAUACAGUCCAAAAUAAAUAAAAAUACAAAAAAAACAAAUCCUAUCUAACCUACACUAAUUCUAACUAUGUUCCCGUGCUUUACCCGAUGCCUCAGGCCUUCAUCACGAACGUCUUCCGCCAACAUAGUGCGUCCGGGAAUUCCCCGGUGAAUAAAUACAAUGUGUCUCGGAAAAUUCCCCGGCUAAAUGAAUACAUUUGAAUUAAAUACGAUAAACUAGAAAGAAACAUUCACACACACAUUCCAACAUUCAACCAAAACAACUAGUUCUAAAAUUUGCCUACCCGAACCUAUAUUGCCUAUCCUUUUCAACACAUCAUAGAUCUAUCACGAUUCAUAUCAACAAUAAAUCAAAAUUAAAUCGAAUCUAUCCUUUUUUUCAAUUUUCAAUUCUCACCCUCAAAUUCCAUUUUAACAUCACAUGAUUAACCAAUUUCGAUGAAGGAUCAACAAAUCGAUAUGAACAAUCAUUCAUGGUGAUAAAAAAUACAUCAACAAAACAAAAUCCACACCUAAUGAAUUCAACAAGAAAAAAUAUCAAACAAUUAGAAUUGGACCUUAAUGUCGCUUUCGAUAUAUCGGAGACAACACCGUGUCCGAAACCCCCGAUACGAACCUCAAUCAUAAACUAAUUUCCAACCUCGAUAGACCCAUUUCGGAUUUCUAAACUCUGGAUCAAUUUUUUGAUGGGAUUUAACUGAAAACAGGAAGAGAGUAACUGUGAUGUGAUUUCAGAUUGGAAUGGAGUCGGUAGUACUAUUUUCAGUUGAGUUUUGAACUUUCGAUGAGAUUUAACUAAAAAAUGGGUCGGAUUUCAUCUUUUUUGCUUGAUCUCUCUCGCUUGGUUCCUCUCUUACUUCUUUUUCUCUCCCUCACGAUCUCGAUCUCACUGCAUGUGUAUGUGAAUGGUAGUGGUCAAUGAUGUGCGCCUGAAAGAAAAAAAAUCAAGAUCGUGCUUUUUCUUUUUCAUUUUUAUUUUGUGAUUUUCUCCUCCCUCCCUCUCUCGACAAUGGAACCCGUAUGGUGUAUGUAUGUGCUGGUCAGUAUGUUGUGAAGAUCCAAAAAAGGAAAAGAUGAAGAUGGUCCCAAAAUUCCCCCCUUUUCGUGUGUAUGAGAUGUGUAUAUCGUGUGAUCUUAAGUGUGUGCGCGUGGAGGUCUGCCUGUUGAGGAGGAAAAAAAGGGAUUUCCCUCCUUUUGCCUAAUUCUCCCAGAUCUGUGUGUAUAUGUCUGUGUAGGUGAGUGGAGAUGGUCUCUGUAUGUAUGAAUAUAAAAAAAAGGAAGAUCCUUCUGUUGUGAGUGCUAAAAAUAAAUAUUGUUACUCCUGUGGGCCCCUUCUAUUAUUGGAAUAUAGUGUAUUGUCAAGGUUGGUGAAGAAUUGUUCCUCAAGACUAUUCUAUGGGCCCUUCUCCUUUUGUUAUGGUGUGAUAUUUAUUUGGUUAUAGGUUUGUCACCAAGAGAAAAAAAAAGUAAAGGGGUACAUGGGGUAUGGUGUGGUUAGGGAUUUGUUAUUUUUUGUCAUUUUAUAGAGGGAUGAUUACAUGGAUGAGGGUACAUGAUAAGACGAGAUAAAAAUGGUAAAAAUGCUUUCGGGGAGGGACAAAAUUAGGUGUCUACAUCAUGCCCCCUGUGAAUGUAAACACAAAGUGUUUUCAGACAAAGAAGUAGACAGCAAGUCAAAAUUUUGAACCGACCAUUAUUCAAAGAGAGAAACAGAAGAAAGAAGGACAACCGGGUCUUGACUUAAGACAUCUUACCUACCCAAGUUGUGAGGGAGUCAUGUCACGGGUAUUUCAAAGGAUUUGAAAGAAAAAGGACAAUACCUAGGUGGAGAGUCGAGUGAGGUUCCAUCGAGGUUCCGGUCCGCAGCUCUGUCAUUACAUCAAAAAUAAAAAUUUCAAUUUAAAAACAUAAAUGAAAUUACAACAACCUAUCUACGCAGCUUAUUUUGGAAUCUUGACUUGAGUUUCAUCACCCUAUUCUUCAGGCGGUCUGCUUCUUCAACUUGUUUUUUAACUUUCCAUUUAUUCACCCUAUGCUUCAGGAGGGCUACUGACUUGCCAUUUCAUCACCCUGUUCUUCAGGCGGGCUCCUGACUUGCAAUUUCCUCAACUUGUUGUUUGACUUUCAAUUGUUUCACCUCAUUGCUUAACUUUCAAUUUCUUUACCCUAUUCUUCAGGCGGGCUCCUGACUUGCUAUUUUUCAAUCUGUUAACUUUCAACUUUUCACCUUGUUGCUUGAAUUUCAACUUCUUCACUUUGUUGCUUGAGUUUUCAUUUCUUUACCCUGUUCUCCAGAUGGGCUCCUGACUUGCAAUUUCUUCAACUUGUUUCUGUGCUUUUCAAUUUCUACACCCUGUUCUCCAGCCGGGUUCCUGACUUGCUAUUUCAUCAAUUGUUGCUAUGCUUUCAAUUUCUUCUCCCUGUUCUGCAGGAGGGCUCCUGACUUGUUAUUUUUCAAUCUGUUUAACUUUCAAUUUUUUCACCUUGUUGCUUGGUUUUCCAUUUAUCGCCCUGUGCUUCGGGCAUGCUCCUGAAAUUACAUCAAAACUGAAAAAAAAUUAUCCUAAACAAAGAAAUGCAUUUUCUAUAAGUUAAUUGGAAUGAAUCGACUAAAAGGUACGUCUUAUAGGAAUCAGAGAGAAUAAUUCGACUAAAAGGUAUGUCUUAUAGGAAUCAAAUGGAAAUGACUCAACUAAAAGGUAUGUCUUAUAGGAAUCAAAGGGAAUGACUCGACUAAAAGGUAUGUCUUAUAGGAAUCAAGGGAGAUAACUCAACUAAAAGGUACGUCUUAUCGGAAUCAAGGGGAUGAUUUGACUAAAAGGUACAUCUUCUAGGGGUCAAAGGGAAUGACUCUACUAAAAGAUACGUUUUAUAGGAAUCAAAGGGAAUGACUCAACUAAAAGGUACGUCUUAUAGGAAUCAAAGGAGAUGAUUCGACUAAAAGGUACGUCUUUUAGGGGUCAAACGAAAUGACUCGACUAAAAGGUACGUCUUCUAGGGGUCAAAGGGAUGACUCGACUAAAAGGUACGUCUUCUAGGGGUUAAAGGGAUUGACUCGACUAAAAGGUACGUAUUAUAGGAAUCAUAGGGAAUGACUCAACUAAAAGGUACGUCUUAUAGGAAUCCAGGGAAAUGACUCGACUAAAAGGUACAUCUUAUAGGAAUCAAAGGGAAUGACUCGACUAAAAGGUACGUCUUAUAGGAAUCAUAGGGAAUGACUCAACUAAAAGGUACGUCUUAUAGGAAUCAAGGGGAUGAUUUGACUAAAAGGUACGUCUUCUAGGGGUCAAAGGGAAUGACUCGACUAAAAGGUACGUCUUAUAGGAAUCAAAGGGAAUGACUCGACUAAAAGGUACAUCUUCUAGGGGUCAAAGGGAAUGACUUAACUAAAAGGUACGUCUUAUAGGAAUCAAGGGAGAUGACUCAACUAAAAGGUACGUCUUAUAGGAAUCAAGGGGAUGAUUCGACUAAAAGGUAUGUUUUCUAGGGGUCAAAGGGAAUGACUCGACUAAAAGGUACGUCUUAUAGGAAUCAAAGGGAAUGACUCGACUAAAAGGUACGUUUUAUAGGAAUCAAAGGAGAUGAUUUGACUAAAAGGUACGUCUUUUAGGGGUCAAAGGGACUGACUUGACUAAAAGGUACGUCUUAUAGGAAUCAAAGGGAAUGACUCGACUAAAAGGUACGUCUUAUAAGAAUCAAGGGGGAUACUCGACUAAAAGGUACGUCUUAUAGGAAUCAAGGGGGAUGACUCCACUAAAAGGCACGUCUUCUAGGGGUCAAAGGGAAUGACUCGACUAAAAGGUACGUCUUAAGUGAAUCAAAGGGAAUGACUCAACUAAAAGGUACGUCUUAUAGGAAUCAAAGGAGAUGACUCGGCUAAAAGGUACGUCUUAUAGGAAUCAAAGGGAAUGACUCGACUAAAAGGUACGUAUUCCAAGAGUCAACGGGAAUGACUCUACUAGAGGGUACAUUUUCUAGGAGUGAAGGUUCAAUUUAAGAAGUGUAUCACCCACCAAAUGAAAACUGAAAUCCUUGGACAAGAAAGUGUGCCUCCGAGGGAUAUAAGAUGAUGAAUUUCACCAUGAUUUGAUUACCAAACCUGUGCAUCAAUAUUGCUUCGUGCAUUUGUAAAAGUGAGGCAUUGCAGGCCUUGAUAUUUAUGCUUGAUGUCCUUGCUUUGAAGGUAAUAUGUUUCCUGUUUCAUCAAAGAAAACUUGUGAGUUAAAAAAAACAUGGUGGCUGGCUUGUGGCUUUAGCUUUCGCGGCAAUCGCUCUUGCUUCAGUCAUAUUUAACCUUGUUUCCAACCACUAACAUAUGUCAUUGAAUUGUUGCAUUAGUUAUCCAAACUCAUAUUAGGAAGAGUGACUCUGCCACAAACAUAAUAUCUCUUCUUUGCUAUGUUUCUCAGUUAAACCCUUUGAACUAUGGUAUUUAUGUGGGUUCCCAGACUUAUCUGUUGACAAAACUUUCUGCAUACCCUUUUUUUUGCUCACAAUCAUGCCUCUUUCAUGUGCUAGAUUUUGUCUUGCUUUAUGAAAUUAAAGAAGCUGGUAGCCAAUUUUGAAAUCUUUUCUCACUUGUUUUGACACGGACUUGACUCAAAAACAAGAAACGAAAAAAAAGAACGAUAUUUUUUGUCUGGAUAACUGACUCAAGAAAGAUAAAAUAAAAAUAAAGAGAAGAAAGAAAAGACAAUGAAUGUCCCAUUUUGAAACAAAAAAACAAAAAAGUCAUCUAAAAAUGACAGUCGACACUAAUGAUUAUGCCAUGCAUUUUGGAUUAAGUAGCUUGAUCUUUUCAUCCAAACUUUCUACCCAUUGUUGUUGAGUUAAUGGACUUGAAACUGAGUUGCUUCAAUUGCAUUUAAGACCCCAUUUGGCUAGUGGUGCCUUGAAGGAUUUUUGCCCACAAGCUUCUCUUAUUUUCUUUUCCUCAGCUCACCAUUGCCUUAUGGUGUCUGUAAGGGUUUUCCACUAAUGAGAUUCUCUUAUCUUCGUUUCCCUUAUCUCACAGUCGUCUUACGGUGCCCGUGAGAGUUUUCACCGAUAAGACUCUCUCAUUUUUAUCUCUCUCAACUUACCAUCAUCUUACAGUGCCCAUGAGGGCUUUCACCAAUAAGACUCUCUCAUUUUUAUUUCUCUCCUAAUUUCUUAUGCUGAGGAAGACAAGUAGUUCCUAAAUGCAUCAUCAUAUCCCUUGCAUGCUUAGCCUUAACAUCCUCAAAGAUUGAUCUAAAAGUCUUUCUUUGGUUGUAACUUGGCUUUUGGAUAGGGUUAGAAAGAAAGGAUGGCAUGGGGCCUAAACAACACUUGAAGUGGGGUAGGACUUAUAACUUUUGGAAUUGAAUCAAACAAUGAGGAUUAAAUCAUGCCCUAGUUUCUUUUGACUGGGCAAUUCUAAAUUAUUUAUUUGGUUGGAUCGAGCCCUGAGUAGAACAACCUACGUAUCUCACCUUCGAAAGAGGAGAAUCAGGUCACACAUAGUUUUGGCAGCUUGUUCUUUUACUUGAUUCUAAUUUUUGUUUCUUCUUCUCCUUUUUUUUCUUUUCUCUUUGGGAUUUUUUUAUGACCAUAUUUUUGAUAUUCUUCUCUUUUCUUUCCUUUUGGACACAUUUUUUCUCUCGACACUUUUCUUUUGAGUUUUACUGACUCUAUCUUGAUUCUAAAAGAGGUGUAUGAAAGAAAAUAGGACUAAAGCUCAAAUGGGAUAAACAAAGGAUGACACAAUAUUUGAAUAGCAGAAUAAAAUGCCUUCAUCAUAUCAAUCCUUAAAAAUGCAAGUACAUAUCAUGCAAUAUGAAAGUGAAAGAUGAAGAUCAUUUGUGACAUCUUUUGCAGCAUUAAAUCUGACUAAGUUUGUACGUCACUAUUUCUUUUGUGCUUUUCUAGCAUACAACUCCACUUUUGUUGCAUAUUCCUCACAUUGAAUGACUUAUGAUUUUGUGGAGCUGAUUUUCGUUCUGUUCACGCAACUACUAUUUAACCUAAUUGAGACAUGUCUUUCAAUUGAUGACCACGUUAUUCUUGUGAUUAUCAAAAUAAGUGCCUUAAUUUUCAAAGAAGGCUUCAACUUGUCACCAAAUAUCUCAAUACUCUACCUAUUUCCUCAGAUGUUCUCUUUUACUAACUUAAACCUCUGAUUCAAUGUCUCAUGGUUAAAUUAGAUUUUAAGAUCUGACCAAAAAUUCCGCUAGCAUGUCAUAUCACUAGAAUCAACAUAAAAUGCACUAUGUGAAGAAAACAAACAAACAACACAUAUUUAAAACACAAAGAAAAAAAAGAACACUUCAGUUAGUUGAAAUAAAAGAGAAAGGGGUUUGAACAUAAACGACAAAGGGACAAAAUAAGAUGGAUCCCGAACUACAAACCUGAAAUAAUUCAAAAAAUAAAAAACAAAACAAAACAAACUAUCAAACCUCUUCCUAGUAGGGAGAGAGGUGACUUCUCAAUUGCUCAACCUGACAACUUAGCCACUGAUUUGCAUAUCAGCAUGACUAGAUCUUCCCACACUGUCAAUGUUCUGCACCAUAUUGAGCAUUAGAAUGAUAUGCACAUCGUGCAUUAUGAUUAAAAUUUCUUGAACGGGGAUUAAGAGUGUGCCUAAGGAGAGGAGUGAUCAUGCGCCAUUGUACUAAUCUCUGAAAUAAGCUAGCAUAUAACUGUCCAAUUGGUGUGAAGCUAUCCCUCGAUUUUUGCCUCAUUUCAUUGUUUGGCUUGAAUCCAAAAUCGGGCCUAGAAUGGCUUUGGUAGGUUUGUGGAGUCAGAGGGUGACUUUGAGGAGUUGGUGCACACCAUUGUAAGUAAGGAGGGAGUUGAAAAUAUGGUUAUGCGCAAUAUACUAGAUAUGGAGGUGGGGAAAUGGAGUAUAAUGGAUUUUGGGAGGGAUUAUAGAGAGCUUGGGUAUGAACUUGGGCAUGAGACUGACGGCAAUGACGACGUCAUCUUCUUGGAUGUGCUCGUUCUCUAACUACAAUAGCAGUAUCAUCUUUCUCAUUCUUCUUCCCUCUAGGUUCCCUUAAUUGAUUGCAAUAUUGUCCCAAAUGUUUCACAAAUUCCUCAUGUCCAUCUUGCUCGUCAAAUUUUGACAUCUCAAAGAUUGGAGGAAGGUUAGCAUUUGAAGGCAUGCCCCAGUUUUUGUAUGAAACAUCUUCUUUACCUGCGGGUCCUAGAAAAUUUUUCAUAGCAUUUUCUGCACUCUUCAUUUUUCCAACAAUUUUCUUCGACUCUUCUGACACACUGGACUUUUUGUUAAGAAAUUUUGGUGGUCCAGUUAACUUUCAAAGCAGGCUCAGGAGUAUAAAAAUGAUCACCAAGAGUAUUGAAUAUAGGUUAAUUAGCAGCAUGAGGACGCACAACCGUUGGGAGAGCCAGUGUAAAAGUCCCAGUAGAUGAUUGAGCAACAAGAUCACAGACGACAUGUGGUGUUGUGAAUAUAGCAGGCUUAUGCUGAGGAGCUAGAGGAAAAGUGGUGGAAGUAUUGAGAUGCUUUUGGCUUGGAAUGAAUUCUGAGUCAUGUUGCGGUGUAUCAACAAUAGUAGCAAAUUGACUUUGAGAUUUUGGUGGAAAACUCGAGGUAUUUGUAGGAUCAAUAAAGGGAAAUGGAGGAGGAGGCAACCCACUGGCCCAAGCUCGAUGCAUUUCUAUCAUUUAUUGUCUUAGCCACCUAAUCUCUUACUUCAAACUCUCAUUUUCCUGAACCUUUGUUUGAUCCAUGAUGUCACUCUCUAUAUCUUUUUUGGACACAACUAACCCUUUGGAUUUGGUGCGAGGUGAAGGAUCAUCCAGAAUGCCAUAAACCAACCACCUUAAACUGACUCAACAAAAAACAACAAAUGUGUUAGAGUUCAACACUUUUUCAAAACCUCUUUUUUUUAAAAGAUCACUAAACCCAAGAAGGGCGCCUACGUAUCUCACUCCCGAAAGAGGAGAAUUAGGUGUGCGUAGUUCGUGAAGUCUUGCUAAAAUGGGCAAUUAAACUCAUUAAACUCUUUUUUUUCAUUCUUUUUCUUGAAACUUCAAAGAGAAGAAAAUAACAAAUUGUCAAAAGAAUUGACAAAAAUCUUUUUGUAUUUUUCAAGUUCAAAUCCUUAUACAAAAUGAAAUCUAUAAUUACCAAAGAAAAUCUUUUUGGGUUUUCAAUUUUGAAUUUCCUAUGAAAAUGGAACUUGAACCUAUUAAAGAAAAAUCUUUUUGUAGUUUUCUUUUAAAGAUGUAUAUGAAACACUUACUCUAAAUAAAGAGUGAAGAAAAUCUUUUUAGAUUUUUCAAAUAAGAUCCCCGAACCAACAAUAGGCUGCCUACGUAUCUCACUCCCGAGAGAGGGGUAUCAGGGGUGCAUAGUUCAUCCAGAUAGGACAAUUAAAGAUUAAAUAACCGACUGAACCCUGACUUGAGAGACGAAACUACAACGAUAAAAAUCUUUUUUGGGGUUUUCACUUUGACACUCUACAUAAAACUGACACCAACAACUAUGAAAGAAAAAUCUUUUUGGCAUUUUCAUGAAAUGUACAAAAAUCUUACAAUUUUUGCAUUUUUCUUUUAUAAAAAAUCCUAUGAAUGAAAAAUCUUUUUUGAAGUUUUUGAAUUGUGAAUACUUGCUAAAGGAAACAAAAGAAAAAUGUUUUUGAUGUUUUUGAUUUUGACAAAUGAGUGCAAAAGGUAAAGAUCUUUUCGAAUUUUUGGACUGUGAAGAACAAAAGCCAUAAAAAUAACUCUAAAAAACCUACGAAACUCUUUUUUGAUUCGCCUUUUUCUCUUUUUCCCUCUUUUUUUCUUUUUAAAAAAACUUUUCCUUACCUACACACUUCCUUUAAUUCUAGCACAUGCUUUUGCCCAAAUCAGUCCGUCAAAUGACCUCGUUACCCUCAAAGAUGCAACAUUUAGCAUGUAGGGAUGCCUUAGAGGUGAGUUUUCUACAAAGGACCAAGUGGGUUCUGCUAGGUCUCAAUAUGAUAUAGAUAAGCAUGACCUAAAGGCUGACCUACACUGGGUUCACUAACAAGGCUAUUCGAGGGAGCGUAUAGUCGAUAGUGGCUGCUUUAGCUUUCCACCCACUCCAUACUACCCUACGGCUCCCCCUCCUAAGAUAAAGGUGACUCAACUAGAGGUCGUUUACACAGCAUGUACUAUGAACUUAUUGCGGAAAGAAUGACUCGGGUUAUGCACAUGAUCCCAGAUAUAAAGCGGUAAAUCAUAAGAUAAAAACUGUAAUCAAAUAGCACGUAGGCACUCAACAAUGAAAAAACAAUAACCAAAAACAACACAAACAACGUCUAUACACCCAUAAUGCCAAACUAAGCUAAUACAACUCCAAAAAUAAGCUCGAAUUCUGAAAUGAUUCCCAAUAGAGUCACCAGAGCUGUCACACCCCUUUUUUUUUAACUCCAAAAGGAUUUUAAGUUUCGAAAGGAUUUUUAUUAUUAAAGUGACAAAAGUGAAGAUUUAUUUUGAAAAGGACUUUUUAUAUUCCAAACUCAGAGUUGCCGCUUGUCAUAGUCCGGUGUGCCAAGCCACCCUUAAAAAUCCUUUUCAAAAUGGUUUUGACUCUAUAACUGAUCCACAAACAGAGAUUCCAACUAAGGAAUUCUGUUGACCGAGGGGAAGGUGUUAGGCACCCCUCGAUCUAGUGAUUCGAUCAUGGUUGCUUGAUGGAGUGUAUCGGCUAAUUUGACAUUACAAAUGUAUAAACCACACAAAAACACACAAAAUAAUCAAUCAAACACACCAAACAAAAAAAAUCCAAAAUUCAGUGUUCAGUCCGAUUAUACAGUCCAAAAUAAAUAAAAAUGCAAAAAAAACAAAUCCUAUCUAACCUACACUAAUCCUAACUAUGCUCCCGUGCUUUACCCGAUGCCUCAGGCCUUCAUCACGAACGUCUUCGUCCAACAUAGUACGUCGGGGCAUUCCCCAGUGAAUAAAUACAAUGUGUCUCAGGAAAUUCACCGGCUAAAUGAAUACAUUUGAAUUAAAUACGAUAAACUAGAAAGAAACAUUCGCACGCACAUUCCAACAUUCAACCAAAACAACCAGUUCUAAAAUUUGCCUACCCGAACCUAUAUUGCGUAUCCGUUUUAACACAUCAUAAAUCUAUCACACUUCAUAUCAACAAUAAAUCAAAAUUAAACCAAAUCUAUCCUUUUUGCAAUUUUCAAUUCUCACCCCUAAAUUUCGUUUUAACAUCACAUGAUUAACCAAUUUUGAUGAAGGAUCAACAAAUCGAUAUCAACAAUCAUUCACGGUAAUAAAAAAUACAUCAACAAAACAAAAUCCACACGUAAUGAAUUCAACAAGCAAAAAUAUCAAACAAUUAGGAAUUAAUAGAGAACGAGAUGAAAAUUGGACCUUAAUAUUGCUUUCGAUAUAUCGGAGACAACACCGCGUCUGAAAACCCCCGAUACGAACCUCAAUCACGAACUAACUUCCAACCUCGAUAGACCCAUUUCAUAUUUCUAAGCUCUGAAUCUAUUUUUUAUGGGAUUUAGAUGAAAAUAGGAAGAGAGUAACUGUUGACGUGAUUUUGGAUCAGAAUGGAGUCGGUAGUACUUUUUUCGAUUGAGUUUUGAACUUCCGAUGAGAUUUAACUAAAAAAUGGGUCAGAUUUCAUCUUUUUUUCUCGAUCUCUCUUGCUUGGUUCCUCUCUUACCUCUCUUUCUCUCCCUCAUGAUCUCGAUCUCACUACAUAUGUAUGUGAAUGAUAGUGGUUAGUGAUGUGCGCAUGAAAGAAAAAAAUCAAGAUCGUGCUUCUUCUUUUUCGUUUUUUUUUGAGAUUUUCUCCUCCAUCCUUCUCUCAAAAAUGAAACUCAUAUGGUGUAUGCAUGUGCUGGUCAGUAUGUUGUGAAGAUCAAAAAAAGGAAAAGAUGAAGAUGGUCCCCAAAAUUCCCCUCUUUUUGUGUGUAUGAGAUGUGUAUAUUGUGAGAGCUUGUGUGUGUGCGCGUGGAGGUCUGCAUGUUGAUGAUGAAAAAAUGGAGUUUCCUCCUUUAGCCUAAUUCUCCCAGAUCUGUGCGUAUAUGUCUGUGUAGGUGAGUGGAGAUGGUCUCUGUGUGUAUGAAUAUAAAAAAAAGGAAGAUCCUUAUGUUGUGAGUGCUAAAAAUAAAUAUUGUUACUCUUGUAGGCCCCUUCUAUUAUUGGAAUAUAGUGUAUUGUCAAGGUUGGCGAAGAAUUAUUCCUCAAGACUAUUCUGUGGGCCCUUCUCCUUUUGUUAUGGUGUGAUAUUUAUUUGGUUAUGGGUUUGUCACCAAUAGAAAAAAAAGAGUAAAGGGGUACGUGGGGUAUGAUGUGGUUAGGGAUUUGUUAUUUUUUGUUAUUUUAUAGAGGGAUGAUUUCAUGGUUGAGGGUACAUGAUAAGACGAGAUAAAAAUGGUAAAAAUGCUUUUGGGGAGGGACAAAAUUAGGUGUCUACAGUAUUUAAUACCCAAAAUCUAGCUCUUUACUUAGAAUUUCAGUAGCUAUAGAAUAGUCUUAGUGAUGUCACGUACAGUAGUACUCAGCCAGUUACAGAACUCAGUGUAUUCAACCAGUUAAUAGAACUCAGUGAAUUCAGUCUAGUUCAGUCAGUUAGCACGAUCAGUAAUAGCUCAGUCUAGCCUAGUACAGUCUAGAAAUCAGUUUAAUAUCUAUUUCAGUUGGGAGUAGGAUUCAGCACUGAGUGAACCCAAGGUUGGGGACUCACCUGCCAGUAGAGGGUGUAAUCUUUUGAAGCUGUUCUUACGUUCUAGAAAUACGUAGCCAGCGUAGGUUGAGACAUCAAUCUGCCAAUUGAGGGUUGAUGAGAUGUCUUACCUUCCAGUUGAGGGUACCACCAUUCUUAUUCAGAGCACCCUCUAGAUGAGGGUGACUCAGUAGCUUGUCUUUACCCGUAGCACGAUACUGACACCCAUCCAACUGGGGCUAUAGGUUGGACCCCAAUCAGUUCAGUUAGAUAAUUACCACCCAUAUUUUCAGUCUCAGUAUAGAACCCAUUUUAGUUCUACAGCACCAGGACUAUUAGAAACAGUCACCCAGUUUAGUAUAGAACUUAGUUAAGGUCUACAGAAUCAAGACUGUCAGAAGCAGUCACCUAGCUAAUAGUAAUACAGUUAUCAGUAAACUCAGAUAUUAGUCAAUCAGUUAUUAGAACUCAGUACCCAGUGUUUAUAUGAUUUCAGUUAUAGUAUACGUAGUUAUGUUCAUAGUAUUGCAUAAUCAGUAUUUACAACAGUUUCAUAUAUACAUGUACUCUCAUUCAAUUAUAUUUAUGUUACUCAACCAGUAUUGUUCAUGCAUAUAAACCCAUGCAUUCAAACUUACCUCACUUAGCAUACCAGUACAUUCAAAGUAUUGACAUAUACCUUUCUUUUGUGCUAUGAUGUCUUAUAUCAUAGGUUAAGAUGCAUGGGCUCCUGAUCGCACUUAGUAGCCCAGCUUAUUAGCAACAGACUUAGUGGUGAGUCCUCAUAGUUUGGGAACAGAGUUGUUAUUUCAGUAUUUUUCCAGUAGCAGGAGUUAGUUGGGGGCUUGUCCUAUCAACUCCAUCUUCAGACAGUUAGAGGCUUUCAGACUAGAUUAUGUCAAACAGAUGAUCAACUUUCAGUAUUUGAUUUUUGUUAUGAACCUUAUGUUAGUUCCAGCCUAAUUUUUGCAUUAUUACAGUAUUGUUACUCAAUUAUUGCAGCAGGUGCCAGUCAUGGGUUAGCUUGUGGUCCUUCGAGAUUAUGAGCUGUGACGUCUAGGGUGCAGACUCGGGGUGUUACAGCCUUUUUCUUCUGUUAAACCUGUAAUUAUUUCCUAUUUCUUUUCUUUGUUUUUUAGUUUCUUGAUUUCUUCUACUUUGAUGUUGUGUUCCAUUUUGUCCUUUUUUUGUGCAAGUUGAUGCCUAGGAAGCUUCACCAGAAAGAUUUACCUUUAUGCCAUUUGUUUUUCUGAUUUUAUUUCUUACUUGAAACUGCUAUCUGUUAGCUCACUGCUAGAAACAGAGGUUUCCCACCUUGAAUCACUGAGAAAUUUGUGUUCUAUAACAUUAUUUUCCUACCUAUUUACCACCGAAUCAACUCUCUGGAAAGCCUAUGGUGGAAAGAAGAUUUUCAUUAAAAUACUAGAAAUAUUUCUAAUUUUUUUGUGUGAAAAUACUAUUAUGUUUUCUUUUCUCACUGAUUCAAUCAAAAUAUCUAUGGAAAUAGCCAAUGAACAUUUUUCAAUGGGAAAUCUCAAGGGAGAACAAUGAUUGUUUUAGUAGUGUUUCUGCCGUUUGUUCUUAUGAAAUUGUUUCUCACUUGAAACUGACAUCUGUAAGUUCCACCUUAUUUAUGAGAUUUAAAAAAAUACAUAGAAAAAUGUUUGCUUAUGUGCUUUGUUUAUGGAAAGUUCAAUUCUUAUGGUGUAAGAUCAGUAGUAAAUAAAGGGUACUAGAUUUUUGUUUCUGCUUUUGAUUGUGUAAAUUGGUAUGUAGGGAUUAAAAAGUGACUUCUCUCGAAUUUGAUUUUCUCUCAAUGUAAAUAUGUGAUUCCUAUAAAUGACUUUCAUUAUUAAAAUGUUGUACAUAGAUGCACCUAAGAUGUUUGGUAAAAUGAAUAAGUUCCUUUUAUGUCCUUAGCAGUUAUUGUUAUUUUGUGAAGAAAUAUUUUGUAGUGUUCAGAUGUUAAUAUAGUAAUUACGUUUCAUGAAGGUGUACAUGAUUUCACCCUAUAAUUGUGUUGUUAGCUUAAAGUAACUUUUGUAUCACAGGAUAGCAAUUAGAACAAAGUCCUUUUAUGUCCUCGACAUUUAUGAUUAUUUUUGGAAAGAAAUGUCCUAUAAUGUUCUUCUAUAAUUUAGUAGUUGCAUUUCAUACUUUCUAUGGCGUUAGCGUUAUUACUUCAUCAUUUCCACGCUUUGGUUAUUUCUUCUAUUGAGACAAGAAGGAAAAAAGAGUCCUGAUAUACCUUUUUCUUUUCUUGGUAUGUUUAUCCUUGAUCUAACAUUACGUAACUCAACCGGCUUGGUUUAGGCAACUCCCAAGUGGGGUGUUGGAUUCUUUUUCUCCUAACCAGGUUAUGCAAUGCCAGUUAGAAGAGGACUGUAGUACUCUCGUGAUACUUCUGCCACCAACGGAAGUUGCUCUGCCGAACUAGAGUAGUUGUGAUUCUUUACCAACAAAGUCUAGGAUGGUGAUAGUAUUAUUGGUAUGGUUAGGUGCAAAGAAAUAAUAUCUAAAGAGAUACACUGAUUGGUAUUCAUCAAUAGGAUAUCAUGUCAUUAUGUUUACUUUCCUAAUGUCUGGGAUUCUAAGCUAUCAAGUUGGGGGAAAGGCGAAAGAGGAUAUUGAACUGCUUGUGAAUCAUCUUGUUGAUUGGUUGGAAGAAAAUCAUGCAAAGAGCUUGGUCUUCCACACUUUCAGUAAUACUAGUUGGUUAACGUGAGUUCUUUAGAAAGGCAAUUGAAACCCAAGUAUAUUACACUUUUCUCAAAACUUGCCUGCUAAUUACUGAUUGAGUUCUUUUAUUCUUGGCCUUACAGUUAUGGUGUCAGUCUGAAAAGGUUUCAGAAAUAAGAUCACAGUUUAAUGAGAAGGAUCAAAGGUUGACUCUGCCUCUUUCACACCUCCGGAACCAUAGGUAUUGCUGUCUCAGAAAUUGUAAUAAUAAGAUCUCUUCUGUUUUAUGUGCUAGUGUCAAAAGAGUGCUUCUUUUAGAGUAGCCUUAUCUCUGAAGGUUAAUGCAGAUCAAUUGUUAAAAAACCAUAUAUUUCUAUUGAAAUCCAACCAUAUCAUGUUUUUAUUGGAUAAUUAUUAGAAGUGCUAUACAUAGUCAUGGUUUAGCCAUUCCGAACUGCUUGGUUAUUUAUACUCUAAUCAGGACCUGUUGUUCUCUUAUUUGAUCAUGCUGCUUUCGUCUAUCCUGGGCCUUAACCAUACAACUCACUUUUCAAAAAAUAUUCUUCUACUUGAUAAUGUGGAAGUUGUUUAUUGUUGAUUUAGUCUUUGAGGGAAGGUUUGUAUCUUUGUGGGUUUCUUUAAAAUCAAUUAUUUUGGUCUGCAAUUGACAUAUUGGCUUCAUUCCUAUGGGUUUCCUUAAAAUCAAUUAUUUUGGUCUGCAACUGAUAUACUGGCUUCAUUCCUUCAACUAUAUGCAGAACAAAUUUCACUCUUAGAUAUAUUAUUGUAGCACCCCGUAUUUUUCUAGCUUAAAUUCGUUCCUAGAAUGUUAAGGGAUAGCUUUCAAAAUAAAUAAUAUUUAUUCUACGUGAAAUUUUCAAGAUUUCAACUUUUCAUUAUGUGGGAAAUUGAAUAAGCUUUUCAUCGAUACCAAAUUUGCCCAAUUCCGACACUCGGUGAGGAAGUUAGAGCAUUUUUAGUAAAACAGUGUGCCACCUGGACUCUCAAGGGGUCAAGGUGUCAAUUCCAGUGGACCUUCGCGAUAUCGGCGCAUCGAGGAGAGGUCCAAAUUCCUAUUUGUCAAAAUCCAGUAGACCAACGCGAUGUUGGUGCGUCGCGCUAGUGGCCAAAAUGGAAAAAAUCAUAGGGCAUCGCAAUAGCUCUGUGUCGCAGAGAAAGCCCUGUUCCCGUUCGUCCUUUUUCCAGUGAGCCACUGCGAUAGUGGCGCGUUGCGGUGGUCCAGUAAAUCUAGAUUUUUUUCCAUUUUUCUAGUUCCAUUUGGGAGUUUAAAAAGGAUAUUUUGGUCAAUAUCCAAGCCUCCAAUCGGUCCAAACAUAAGAUUUAGGCCUAUUCUAAGCACUUUGGGUUUAUAUUCAUCAAUUUUCUCUUAAACAAAACCCUAGAGUUCAAAUAUCCUUCUCCAAGAAAUCAAAUUCCACCAUGGUUUCUCCAAGAAAGCUUAAGAUUGAGGAUUCCCAAGGCAAAAUAAUCAAGGAUACAUCUUCAAGAACUCAAAUAGGAAUCAAUAGAUCAAGUUUCUUCAUCUAAUCUUCAAUCAAGGUAUGUUGGGUUAUGAACAAGGACAAUCCUUUCAUCCUUGUGCCAAAAACCAAGCUUUUACAUUAAAUUCAUAUGGUUUUGAAUGAUAUUACAUGAGUUUUGAAUUAGGGUUCAUACGCAUUAUUGCUAUUUACAAAGUUAUGAGUUUUUGAGAUAUUUUAAGGAUGAUUUGCAUGUCUAUUUACAUAUUUCCAAGCCUAUUGCAGUAAAUUACAGAUUUUGAGAUGAAUUAUCAUUGUUUUCAUUAUCAAGCAUGAUUACUAUGAUGGUUUGACAUGAGAUUUAAAGCAUGGGUUAUUAGCCCAAGAAUGAAUACUAUUAUUUCAAGAAAGAUGAUACUGUGAGCAUCCAAUUAUCAGAUUAUUUACAAAUUUUCAAAAAAAGCAUUGAUAUUUUGAUCCUCAAUUUAGCUAUGGAAUCCACUUUACAGAUUACAGAACUCAGAAUAGCUUUAAUUAUAGAUUUACUCAGAUGAUUGCAUAAUUAGUUUUUGAUAAACCCUUAUGCUAGUUUUAAAGUGAAUUUCCAAUAGAAUGAGCGUAGAAAAUAAAAAGGAAAUAGUAUUUAGCACCGAGCGUGAAGUGUGGGUUUAGAGCAUCCUACUUCCAUAGAACUACAUAGCUAACGUAGGUACAGAUUAUCGGAUUAUUUCCAUUUCUAUAUAGAUGACAGAUUUAGCUUGUGAUCGAUCACAUGGGUAGGUUAUACUCCCUGGAAAGAGUAUGACACCUCUCCCCAACGUGAGGUUUCUUUCUUAGGAGGAAGAGACGUUGGACUCCAUAUUGCUCGCAUGGUUUAUGUCGAUUAAGAGAACCUCCCUUAAGAUGAAAUGUUUUUUCUUAAAGCUUUGAAAGAUUUUUCCCUAAUCCCUACAACUUAAUAGUAAAGAUUUCAGAAUAAGUUUUAAAGUAUAUCCCUUCAGAUAAAGUGUUUUUCCUUAAAGUUUUAAAGCUUACAGACUACAGAUUCUAGAACAGAAAGAGUAACAGAAAAGCUUUUAGAAAAACUAAGUGUUAAGGCUCACAAGUUUUACUCAGAUAAUGCUUUAUAGAAAGAUAUUAGCUACACUUUUCAGCUUUCAGUUUUCAGACUUUAUCAGAAUGUAAAAGUUUUAUCAGUAUUGUAUUUUCAUAGAUUCCACCAUUAUUAUGUUUCCGCACAGUAAACUCGGUCAUUUUAUGCAUUUUAUUCAGUUGCUUAAUAGUAUGCCAGUUCAUGGGUUAGCUUGGGAUCACUUGUGGUCCUAAGCAUCGUGUGUCGUCUCGGGAUAGAUUUUUGGGGCGUUAUAAUUAUCUUCCUCUUUUGAAUACAGGUGCCCAUCGUGUUGGAUAUUAGUUGUGGAUUUGGUAGCUUUUGUGCCCGCCUACUCUCACUAAAGUUGAUAGCUAAAAUACCUGAAGUGUGAUGUGUUGUAAAUAACCAAAUAAUGUAAGGAUCCUUUUUUGAGUAUCUAUGAUUUGAUAAGUAAUAAAUUUCUAUAUAGUUAUAAUGAAAUCACUGAAUCUCCUAGAAGAAUACUCCAGCUAUACAUGAUAUUAGAACAAAUGUUGAAAGAGAAGAUUGCAGUAAAAGAUCAAGGAAUUAUUUUCAUCUCAUCUUAGAUUCCAAUGGUUGAUCUGCAUAUAUCAUGUGCAGAUACACUUAUGCAACCCCAUAUUAUCUUGGGCUUAAUAAGAUGUUAUGCAAGAGACAAGAAUGGAAGCAAAACACAUUGCAGUUAUUUUGAUCACAUUUUCAAGCUUAAUGUGUGUACAUUUUUGGACACAUUUUUCGGGCAAUGGAAAGCUUUCAAGAGAAGAUUUACGUCGCUCUUCUUUGUUACUGUUGUAUGAUACUUCCUCCAUUCCACAAUAAUUAAAUUGUUGGAAUAUGACACACAUGUUAAGAAAAAAAAUAAAGACAUAAAUUAGACAUGUUUUUCCACUUUUAUCCUUUUGUAGAAUGAAUAUUCUUUUUUUGUUCUCAUAUUUGUUGGCAUACUUAGUUUCAAUAUUACGAAGAAAAGAUGCAAUAUCGAUAUAUUUGCUCCUCUACAGUUUAACAAUUUUCCUUUGGUCUUUUUUCUAGACCUAAAAAUCCUCCAAAAACAUACAUGUUUGGUCCAAAGUACAAGUAGCCUAUGUCUUUCACAAAAUACAUCUCUGUGUCUUUUUUGAUAUCCUUAAUAGCUUAAUUUAUCGUGUCUUAAAUAAACCAGCGAUCUCCUACUUUGACAUUGUAAAAUCAUAUGGGUCUAUGUCAUGAUGCGGGAAGAACGAGAAGAAUAAUGAGUAAGAAAAUAAAUGCUAUAGGAACCGAAAAAUGACAGUUUAGAGAAGAGACAUGAACAAAAGCUUAGAUAGCUUGCUGAUUUAGACAAAUUAGCAACAUUGAAUAAGAUUAAUAGUAGUAUCUGGUGAAGCAGCCAUUUGCAAAGCUAAUUCCAGGAUAGGAUCUUCGAUUUAAUAAUCUCUAUUAUAGUGUCAUAGAUAAAGUCAAAAAA
RNAcentral lists this long non-coding RNA (73127 nucleotides) under Capsicum annuum. RNAcentral describes it as "long non-coding RNA (CANN_LNC006356)". The record is from RNAcentral. Lineage: Eukaryota; Viridiplantae; Streptophyta; Magnoliopsida; Solanales; Solanaceae.